RNAcentral lists this long non-coding RNA (60536 nucleotides) under Triticum aestivum (bread wheat). Its description in RNAcentral is "long non-coding RNA (TAES_LNC018918)". The stretch from base 34648 to 34734 matches the Rfam family "MIR1120/MIR1122 microRNA precursor family". Lineage: Eukaryota; Viridiplantae; Streptophyta; Magnoliopsida; Poales; Poaceae. The record is from RNAcentral.
AGCAACAAACAUUUCCACCACAACAGCCAUAUCCGCAGCCGCAACCAUUUCCAGCACAACAACCAUAUCCGCAGCCGCAACUAUUUCCACAGCCGCAACCUUUUCCGCCACAACUUCCAUAUCCGCAGCCGCAACCAUUUCCCCCACAACAACCAUAUCCACAACCGCAAACACAGCAUCUGCAACCACAACAACCAAUUUCGCAGCAACAAGCACAACAACAACAACAACAACAACAACAACAACAAAUCCUUCAACAAAUUCUGCAACAACAACAACUGAUUCCAUGCAGGGAUGUCAUCGUCUUGCAACAACACAACAUAGCGCAUGAAAGCUCACAAGUAUUGCAGCAAAGUAGUUACCAAGUGUUGCAACAAUUAUGUUGUCAGCAGCUGCGGCAGAUCCCCGAGCAGUCGCGGUGCCAAGCCAUCAACAAUGUCGUUCAUGCUAUUAUUCUGCAUCAACAACAACAACAACAAGGACAACAUCAACAGUCGAGCCAGGUCUCCUACCAGCAGCCUCAGCAACAAUAUCCAUCAGGCCAGGGCUCCUUCCAGCCAUCUCAGCAAAAUCCACAGGCCCAGGGCUUUGUCCAACCUCAACAUCUGCCCCAACUCGAGGAAAUAAGUAACCUAGCGCUGCAGACGCUACCAGCAAUGUGCAAUGUCUACAUCCCUCCAUAUUGCUCGACCACCAUUGCGCCAUUUGGCAUCUUCGGUACUAACUGAGAAGAGAAGAACUCUAGUACUAGAUAUAUGAAACACCGUGUUCUUAGUCCAUGGUUUGGUCGUUGUACCGUUGAAAAUAUAAGGUGACAUGCACUAUCAUGUAAGAACCCGAACUAUACUAGUUCAAACUUGGGAAUAAAAGACAAACACAUGUCUUGUCUGCAUAUGAUUGUUUAUUUGAGUUCCAUUCCUAUGCCCAUUCACAAGUUCACCCCUAAUUAUAUAUAUUACACAUUAAGUAGAUAUUUAUGUUGCAUUAAUCUGAAGAUAACAAAGUGAGUCUGAAACUUGAAUUAUUUUCUUGGACUUUCAAAUUGUGUAUUAUUAAAGUAGUAAGGACUAUCCACAUCCUUGGCUUGCCCUUGAUCAAUUAUUCCCAGAGAAGCUUUCAGUUCAUAAAUCAAUUACAUUGAUUUUUGUGAAUGGUACAUCUCCUCAUCACGAGUAUCAUUACGGCUACUCCAAAUCGCCCACAUAACCGAAGCAUUAAUAGCGCCCUUCUUGCAUCCGGAAAUAUGGAUCGAAGAUAUCACUUGACCAUGUUUCCAGGUGCAACCUUGGGAUUUUUAUGUGAAAAUAUUCUCAAGCAAAAUCCAAGAAUAAACUUGCAUGCUCACGUGUGAUGAGGGCAGAUGAAGUAACAUUUCCUCCCCAUGGCCACACAUAGGGCACACACAUAACCCCAUCACAUGCCUUUUUAGUUAUGCAUAUGAAAGGUAGGAUGUUUUUAAUUACUCUCCACCAAAAUACUCUUAACUUGGCUUGUACCCUAAUAUUUCGUUGCCUUUUCAAUUGUUCUUCCCCAUUAGACAAAGUAGACAGUCCAUCUACCACACCGUACCUUGUGUCCAUCAUUGCUCUGUACAACAAUUGAACAGAACAAAUGUCAUUUCUUUACGAUACCCACGACCAAAUGUCCUCUGCUGGAUUGUUUGGUCGUGGCAUAUUAAGGAUGGCCACCUCAUCUCAUGGGGUAAACACCUAAUGAAUGAAAGGAUUGUUCUAGUCGCCCGUGUUUUUCAUCGAUAAGAUCAUCUACAAGUUGGACCGAAGUUUCUCACAUGCAUCAUAGUGGUUUCAUUAGCGGCGUGCCCUGCACCCAUUUAUCACGUCGUAUCUCUGUAGUAUGUGCAUUCCCAAUUUGUCACAGCAUACCCUCCUUCAAACCUUCUUUCCCUUUCAGAUUAGCACGCCAAGUUAGCUAUGCACUAUGCGGGAACCAGCAUUUGAAAAAAAAGAAUCUCAUUUCAUGGUAUCUUCCAUGAAGGACCCUCGUACAUUAGCUAUCUAGGUAGAAAUAGCCAUGUGUGUUUAGCAAACUUUAAAUAAGUGAAUAGAUCAAGGUCGUGGAACCCCAAGCCUCCAAUUACACAUGGCCUCUCUACCAAUAAGAUCUCCAAAGACAUCAAGGAUACAGACAGCCAAAAAAGAAAAUAAAAAUAAAAAAAAUAAAAAAUACCCUGCCAUGGUGAUCAAUCACAAGCAUCAACAGCACUCUAACCACCACCAAAGACAAUGCCCAGAUUACAAAAAAAAAUUAUCCAAAAACAAUGCCCCCAAGAAGGAAACAAUACACAAGCGUUGUCGUUGCCCGAUCGAAGAUCGUGGGUUUUCACCCUGGAAAAUUUUCGAGUUCACCCAAAAACAAUGCCUUCAACAAGGCCAUUGCCAAGUACAACAAAUAUGGUCGAGACCUUGGGUUUUCACCCUGGGAAUUGAGACUCGAUGCUCGAGGAGUACCAGCAAAAAUGCAGUCCACUAGUGUUGCCGCCCCCACUUGGCGAGGCCACUGUUGCAAGUCACCAAACACCUGGCAUAUAGUUGUCAUCGCAUCCAAUACACCCUUCGGCCGAAGCUUCAAGACCUUGAUCCGUCUCCAACGUAUCUAUAAUUUUUGAUUGUUCCAUGCUAUUAUAUUAUCUGUUUUGGAUGUUUUAUAUGCAUUAUUGUGCUAUUUUAUAUGAUUUUUGGGACUAACCUAUUAAACUAGAGCCCAGUGUCAGUUCCUGUUUUUUCCUUGUUUUAGAGUUUCGUAGAAAAGGAGUACCAAAUGGAGUCCAAAUGGAAUUAAACUUUUGCGAUGAUUUUUCUUAGACCAGAAGACAUCUAGAGGACUUGGAGUGCACGUUAAGAAAGCCACGAGGCUGCCACAACGACAGAGGUGUGCCCCCACCCUUGUGGGCCCCUUGUGACUCUACCGACAUAUUUCUUCCGCCUAUAUAUUCUCAAAUAUUCCAAAACAUACUAGGAGAGCCACAAAAACACUUUUCCACCGCCGCAACCUUCUAUACCCGUGAGAUCCCAUGUAGGGGCCUUUCCCAGCAUCCUGUCGGAGGGGGAUUCGAUCACUGAGGGCUUCUACAUCAACACCAUUGCCUCUCCGAUGAAGCGUGAGUAGUUUACCACAGACCUAUGGGUCCAUAGCUAGUAUCUAGAUGGCUUCUUCUCUCUCUUUGAUUCUCAAUACCAUGUUCUCCUCGAUGUUCUUGGAGAUCUAUUCGAUGUAAUACUCUUUUUGCGGUGUGUUUGCUAAGAUCCGAUGAAUUGUGGAUUUAUGAUCAGGUUAUCUAUGAGUAUUAUUUGAAUCUCCUAUGAAUUCUUAUAUGCAUGAUUUGAUAUCUUUGCAAGUCUCUUCGAACUACCGAUUUGGUUUGGCCAACUAGAUUGGUUUUUCUUGCAAUGGGAGAGGUGCUUAACUUUGGGUUCAAUCUUGCGGUGCUCGAUCCCAGUGACAGAAGGGGAUGAUACGUCUCCAACGUAUCUAUAAUUUUUUAUUGUUCCAUGCUAUUAUUUUAUCAACCUUGGAUGUUUUAUAUGCAUUUAUAUGCUAUUUUAUAUGAUUUUUGGAACUAACCUAUUAACCUAGAGCCCAGUGCUAGUGCCAGUUUCUGUUUUUUUCCUUGUUUUAGGGUUUCGAAGAAAAGGAAUAUCAAAUGGAGUCCAAACGGAAUGAAACCUUCGGAAAAGUUAUUUUUGGAAAGAAAGUAAUACGGUAGACUUGGAGUGCACGUCCGGGGAUCAACGAGGAAGCCACGAGGCAGGGGGCGCGCCCACCCAUCUUGGGCACGCCCUCCACCCUCGUGGCUCCCCAAAUGUAUUUCUUCCACCUAUAUAUAUAUCCAUAUACCCCAAAACGAUCGAGGAGCACAAUAGAUCGGGAGUUUCGCCGCCAGAAGCCUCCGUAGCCACCGAAAGCUAAUCUAGACCCGUUCCGGCACCCUACCGGAGGGGGAAUCCCUCUCCGGUGGCCAUCUUCAUCAUCCCGGUGCUCUCCAUGACGAGGAGGGAGUAGUUCUCCCUCGGGGCAAAGGGUAUGUACCAGUAGCUAUGUGUUUGAUCUCUCUCUCUCUCUCUCUCUCUCUCUCUCUCUCUCGUGUUCUUGAGGUGAUACGAUCUUGAUGUAUCGCGAGCUUUGCUAUUAGAGUUGGAUCUUAUGUUGCUUCUCCCCCUCUACUUUCUUGUAAUGGAUUGAGUUUCCCCUUCGAAGUUAUCUUAUCGGAUUGAGUCUUUAAAAAUUUCAAAACACUUGAUGUAUGUCUUGCCGCGCGUAUCUGUCGUGACAAUGGGAUAUCAUGUUAUUCACUUGAUGUAUGUUAUGGUGAUCAACAUGCGGGUUCCGCCCAUGAACCUAUGCAUAGGGGUUGGCACACGUUUUGAGGUUCUAUGUGUUGGUUGAAUAGAUGAAUCUAGAUUGUGUGAUGCAUAUCGUAUAAUCAUACCCACGGAUACUUCAGGUGACAAUGGAGUAUCUAGGUGGCAUUAGGGUUUUGGUUGAUUUGUGUCUUAAGGUGUUAUUCUAGUACGAAAUCUAGGACUGUUUGUGACACUUAUAGGAAUAGCCCAACGGAUUGAUUGGAAAGAAUAACUUUGAGGUGGUUUUGUACCCUACCAUAAUCUCUUCAUUCGUUCUCCGCUAUUAGUGACUUUGGAGUGACUCUUUGUUGCAUGUUGAGGGAUAAUUAUGUGAUCCAAUUAUGUUAUUAUUGUCGAGAGAACUUGCACUAGUGAAAGUAUGAACCCUAGGCCUUGUUUCGACGCAUUGCAAUACCGUUUACGCUCACUUUUAUCAUUAGUUACCUUGCUGUUUUUAUAUUUUCAAAUUACAAAAACCUUUAUCUACCAUCCAUAUACCACUUGUAUCACCAUCUCUUCACCGAACUAGUGCACCUAUACAAUUUACCAUUGUAUUGGGUGUGUUGGGGACACAAGAGACUCUGUGUUAUUUGGUUGCAGGGUUGCUUGAGAGAGACCAUCUUCAUCCUACGCCUCCUACGGAUUGAUAAACCUUAGGUCAUCCACUUGAGGGAAAUUUGCUACUGUCCUACAAACCUCUGCACUUGGAGGCCCAACAACGUCUACAAGAAGAAGGUUGUGUAGUAGACACCAAGCUCUUUUCUGGCGCCGUUGCCGGGAAGGUGAGUGCUUGAAGGUAUAUAUUUAGAUCUUGCAAUUGAAUCUUUUUGUUUCUUGUUUUAGCACUAGUUUAGUUUAUAAAAGAAAACUACAAAAAAACGGAAUUGAGUUUACCUCACACGCUUCAUCUUUUUAAUAUCUUUCGUGAGUAUGAUGGAAAGAAAAAUUGUGCCAAAGUGUUAGAAGAAGAAUGCAUUAAAAUGUUUGGCAUUAAAUAUUUGAAUGAUGAGCAUUAUUGCAAUGUUGUUAGUAUGAAUUCCUUGAAUAUCCAUAGUGCUAAUGAUGAUUGCACUAGUUAUGAUGAAAAUGUCUCAUGUAAACAUGUCAAUUUUUGUGGAGUGCAUUGGGUUUGCAAGUACACACCAAUUAGGGAAGAUAGAUUUUGCAAGAGGCAUAAGUACUUAGAAACUAAAUUGUUGCAAGAAAGGCUAGAUGAAUGUGCUGAAAAUUUAAAUUUUCUUGGCCAUACUUGUGAGCUUUGCCAUGAACAUGGUCAUUUAACCAUCCGAUGCAAAUUGUUUCAUGAUCUAAUCAUUUCCAAAAAUUGUGAUGACUUGAUUUCCCUUGCACAUCAUAAUGAACUUAGUUUGCUUAUGGGUUAUGAAGAAAUGAAAUGUAUAACUAACUAUCUUCCAGUAUUUGCCCGUGAUAAACUUCUUGGAUUUGAUCUAGAGGAAAUUUAUAUGUAUUGUGCGGUGAAUUGCAUUGAAAACCCCUAUAUUGCCAAUUACAUAAAGAAAAGAAAACAAAUAGAGGAUGAACAGAAUACUAAUGAAAGGGAAGAAACCUUCCAAUAUCCUCCUAUUAUUUCUUAUAAUGAACUAGGUAACGAGGAGGAGCCUCCUAUUCAACCAAUCUCAUUAAUAAGGAGCUCCAAAAAGAGGAUUGAACCCACACACGAUGUAGUGAAGAAGAAGAAAAGAAAGAGGAAGAGAGGUAAGAAGAUAUCUCUCCCAAAUAAUGCUGCUCCUAUUACUAUUGUGCCUCAUGAAAAUAUAAUUGUGGAAGAUAAUGAUACUUCUUAUGAUCUUGAUAAUCCUUUUGUCACUUGCUUGGAAGAAUAUGAUAAUUGCUAUACUAUUGGUUCUAUCCAUACUAUUAAUGAUGAGAGUGAUUAUGCUUAUGAUAUGAAAAGGCCCAAGCUUUGGGAUGCUAUGUUGGAUGAAGAUGAUGUUUUUGAGAAUAUAUUUGCUACAAUUAAUGUUUGUCCCAAGCUUGGGGAUGCUACGUUUAAUCAAGAUGAUAUUUUUAGUCUCCCAAGUUUUGAUAUGCAAAUUUAUAAUGAUGAUAGCAUGCCUCCUACUUAUGAUGAUUAUUGUGAUGAUACUUAUGCUAUAAAAAGUAGUGAUUAUAUUUAUAAAACUUGUCAUGAUUAUGGUUACCCCUUUUCUGAACAUUACUCUUUUAAUGUGGAAACAAUUUAUAGUAUUCGAGUUUCUUAUGAUACUCCCACUAUUCCGAAUGAGAAGAAUUUUGCUUGUGUAGAGAGUAAUAAAAUUUCUAUGCUUGUAGAUCAUGAAAAGAAUGCUUUAGGUUCUGGUUAUAUUUUUGAAUUCAUUCAUGAUGCUGCUGAAAAUUAUUAUGAGGGAGGAACAUAUGCUUGUAGGAAUUGCAAUAAUAUCAAGUUUCCUCUCUAUGUGCUUAAAGUUUUGAAGUUAUGCUUGUUUUGCCCUCCUAUGCUAGUUGAUUAUUGUUCCCAUAAGUUGUUUGCUCACAAAAUCCCUAUGCAUAGGAAGUGGGUUAGACUUACAUGUUCUAGUCAUAUGCUUCAUGAUGCUCUCUUUAUGUUUCAAUUCUUAUCUUUUAUGUGAGCAUCAUUGAAAUCAUCAUGCCUAGCUAGGGGCGUUAAACGAUAGCGCUUGUUGGGAGGAAACCCAACUUUAUUUUUGUUCCUUGAUUUUUGCUCCUGUCUAGCAAUAAAUAAUUUAUCUAGCCUCUGUUAUGAUUGAGUUUUUAUGUUAGAACCGUUGGGAAGACUUGGGGAAAGUCUUGGCGAUCAUGCUGUAAAAAAACAGAAACUUUAGCGCUCACGAGAACUGCUGACAUUUUUUAUUGGAGAGUGCUAUUUGGUUAAUUAUUUUUGCAGAUGAUUAAUAGAUAAAUUCCUCAUGUCCAGCAAUUUAUUUUAGAAUUUUUGGGGCUCCAGAAGUUUGCGUUAGUUACAGAUUACUACAGACUGUUCUGUUUUUGACAGAUUCUGUUUUUCGUGUGUUGUUUGCUUAUUUUGAUGAAUCUAUGGCUAGUAAAAUAGUUUAUAAACCAUAGAGAAGUUGUAAUACAGUAGGUUUAACACCAAUAUAAAUAAAUAAUGAGUUCAUUACAGUACCUUGAAGUGGUGUUUUAUUUUCUUUCGCUAACGGAGCUCAUGAGUUUUCCAUUUUAAGUUUUGUGUUGUGAAGUUUUCAAGUUUUGGGUAAAGAUUUGAUGGAUUAUGGAAUAAGGAGUGGCAAGAGACUAAGCUUGGGGAUGCCCAAGGCACCCCAAGGUAAUAUUCAAGGACAACCAAAAGCCUAAGCUUGGGGAUGCCCCGGAAGGCAUCCCCUCUUUCGUCUUCGUUCAUCAGUAACUUUACUUGGAGCUAUAUUUUUAUUCACCACAUGUUACGUGUUUUGCUUGGAGCGUCAUUUUAUUUCAUUUUGUUUUGCUUGCUGUUUGAAUAAAGUAUCAAGAUAUGAAAUUAUUAAGUGGGAGAGUCUUCACAUAGUUGCAUAAGUAUUCGACUACUCAUUGAUCUUCACUUACAUCUUUCAGAGUAGUUUGUCAUUUGCUCUAGUGCUUCACUUAUAUCUUUUGAGAGCACGGUGGUGGUUUUAUUUUGUAGAAAUAGAUGAACUCUCGUGCUUCACUAAUAUUAUUUUGAGAGUCCUUAGAACAGCAUGGUAAUUUGCUUUGGUUAUGAAUUUAGUCCUAAUAUGAUGGGCAUCCAAGAGGGAUAUAAUAAAAACUUUCAUAUAAGUGCAUUGAAUACUAAGAGAAGUUUGAUACUUGAUGAUUGUUUUGAGAUAUGGAGAUAGUGAUAUUAAAGUUGUGCUAUUUGAGUAGUUGUGAAUUUGAGAAAUACUUGUGUUGAAGUUUGCAAGUCCCGUAGCAUGCACGUAUGGUAAACGUUAUGUAACAAAUUUGAAACAUGAGGUGUUCUUUGAUUGUCCUCCUUAUGAAUGGCGGUCGGGGACGAGUGAUGGUCUUUUCCUACCAAUCUAUCCCCCUAGGAGCAUGCAUGUAGUGCUUGGUUUUUGAUGACUUGUAGAUUUUUGCAAUAAGUAUGUGAGUUCUUUAUGACUAAUGUUGAGUCCAUGGAUUAUAUGCAUUCUCACCCUUCCAUCAUUGCUAGCCUCUUCGGUACCGUGCAUUGCCCUUUCUCACAUUGAGAGUUGGUGCAAACUUCGCUGGUGUAUCCAAACCCCGUGAUAUGAUACACUCUUUCACACAUAAACCUCCUUAUAUCUUCCUCAAAACAGCCACCAUACCUACCUAUUAUGGCAUUUCCAUAGCCAUUCUGAGAUAUAUUGCCAUGCAACUUUCCACCAUUCUGUUUAUCAUGACACAUUCAUCAUUGUCAUAUUGCUUAGCAUGAUCAUGUAGUUGACAUAGUAUUUGUGGCAAAGCCACCAUUCAUAAUUAUUUCAUACAUGUCACUCUUGGUUCAUUGCAUAUCCCGGUACACCGCCGGAGGCAUUCAUAUAGAGUCAUAUCUUGUUCUAGUAUCGAGUUGUAAUCUUUGAGUUGUAAAUAAAUAGAAGUGUGAUGAUAAUCAUUAAUAGAGCAUUGUCCCAAAAAAAGGAAGAGAAAGGCCAAAUAAAAAAGGGAAGCCCCCCCAAAAAAAGAAAAGAAAGGCCAAAAAAAAGAAAGGCCAGAUAAAAAAAUAAAAAAAUAAAAAAAUAAAAGGGACAAUGCUACUAUCCUUUUUCCACACUUGUGCUUCAAAGUAGCACCAUGAUCGUUAUGAUAGAGAGUCUCUUGUUUUGUCACUUUCAUAUACUAGUGGGAACUUUUUAUUAUAGAACUUGGCUUGUAUAUUCCAACAAUGGGCCUCCUCAAGUGCCCAAGGUCUUUGUGAGCAAGCAAGUUGGAUGCACACCCACUUAGUUUCUUUUGUUGAGCUUUCAUACAUUUAUGGCUCUAGUGCAUCCGUUGCAUGUCAAUCCCUAAUACUUGCAUUAACAUCAAUUUAUGGGCAUCUCCCUAGCCCAUUGAUUAGCCGCGUCGAUGUGAGACUUUCGUCUUUUUGUCUUGUCCACAUAACCCCCUCAUUAUAUUCUAUUCCACCCAUAGUGCUAUAUCCAUGGCUCACGCUCAUGUAUUGCGUGAAAGUUGAAAAAAGUUUGAGAUUACUAAAGUAUGAAACAACUGCUUGGGUUGUCAUCGGGGUUGUGCAUGAUGAGAGCAUUCUUGUGUGACGAAAAUGGAGCAUGGCCAAACUAUAUGAUUUUGUAGGGAUGAACUUUCUUUGGCCAUGUUAUUUUGAAAAGACAUGAUUGCUUAGUUAGUAUACUUGAAGUAUUAUUAUUUUUAUGUCACUAUUAAACUUUUGUCUUGAAUCUUAUGGAUCUGAAUAUUCUUGCCACAAUAAAGAGAACUACAUGGAUAAAUAUGUUAGGUAGCAUUCCACAUCAAAAAUUCUGUUUUUAUCUUAUACCUACUCGAGGACGAGCAGGAAUUAAGCUUGGGGAUGCUGAUACGUCUCCAACGUAUCUAUAAUUUUUAUUGUUCCAUGCUAUUAUAUUAUCAACCUUGGAUGUUUUAUAUGCAUCUUUAUGCUAUUUUAUAUGAUUUUUGGGACUAACCUAUUAACCUAGAGCCCAGUGCUAGUUUCUGUUUUUUCCUUGUUCUAGGGUUUCGAAGAAAAGGAAUAUCAAACGGAGUCCAAACGGAAUGAAACCUUCAGAAAAGUUGUUUUUGGAAAGAAAGCAAUACGGGAGACUUGGAGUGCACGUCAGGGGAUCAACGAGGAAGCCACAAGGCAGGGGGCACGCCCACCCCCUGGGCGCGCCCUCCACCCUCGUAGGCCCCUCGUGGCUCCCCUGAUGCAUUUCUUCCACCUAUAUGUACCAAUAUACCCUAAAACGAUCGGGGAGCACAAUAGAUCGGGAAUUCCGCCGCCAGAAGCCUCCGUAGCCACCAAAAGCCAAUCUAGACCCGUUCCGGCACCCUGCCGGAGGGUGAAUCCCUCUCCGGUGGCCAACUUUAGCAUCCCGGUGCUCUCCAUGACGAGGAGGGAGUAGUUCUCCCUCGGGGCUGAGGGUAUGUACCAGUAGCUAUGUGUUUGAUCUCUCUCUCUCUCUCUCUCUCUCUCUCGUGUUCUUGAGGUGAUACGAUCUUGAUGUAUCACGAGCUUUGCUAUUAUAGUUGUAUCUUAUGUUUCUUCUCCUCCUCUACUCUCUUGUAAUGGAUUGAGUUUCCCCUUCGAAGUUAUCUUAUCGGAUUGAGUCUUUAAAGAUUUGAGAACACUUGAUGUAUGUCUUGCCGUGCGUAUCUGUGGUGACAAUGGGAUAUCACGUGAUUCACUUGAUGUAUGUUUUCGUGAUCAACAUGCGGGUUCCGCCCAUGAACCUAUGCAUAGGGGUUGGCACACGUUUUCGUCGUGAUUCUUCGGUAGAAACUUUGGUGCACUCUUUGAGGUUCUAUGUGUUGGUUGAAUAGAUGAACCUGAGAUUGUGUGAUGCAUAUCGUAUAAUCAUACCCACAGAUACUUGAGGUGACAAUGGUUUGCUCACAAAAUCCCUAUGCAUAGGAAGUGGGUUAGACUUAAAUGUUCUAGUCAUAUGCUUCAUGAUGCUCUCUUUAUGUUUCAGUUCUUAUCUUUUAUGUGAGCAUCAUUGAAAUCAUCAUGCCUAGCUAGGGGCGUUAAACGAUAGUGCUUGUUGGGAGGAAACCCAACUUUAUUUUUGUUCCUUGCUUUUUGCUCCUGUUUAGCAAUAGAUAACUUAUCUAGCCUCUGUUAUGAUUGAGUUUUUAUGUUUUAAUUAGUGUUUGUGCCAAGUAGAACCAUUGGGAAGACUUGGGGAAAGUCUUUGCGAUCAUACUGUAAAAAACAGAAACUUCAGCGCUCACGAGAAUUGAUGGGCAUCUCCCUAACCCAUUGAUUAGCCGCGUCGAUGUGAGACUUUCUCCUUUAUGUCUUCUCCACAUAACCCCCUCAUUAUAUUAUAUUCCACCCAUAGUGCUAUAUCCAUGGCUCGCGCUCAUGUAUUGCGUGAAAGUUGAAAAAAGUUUGAGAUUACUAAAGUAUGAAACAAUUGUUUGGCUUGUCAUCUGGGUUGUGCAUGAUGAGAGCAUUCUUGUGUGACGAAAAUGGAGCAUGACGAAACUAUAUGAUUUUGUAGGGAUGAACUUUCUUUGGCCAUGUUAUUUUGAGAAGACAUGAUUGCUUAGUUAGUAUGCUUGAAGUAUUAUUAUUUUUAUGUCAAUAUUAAACUUUUUUCUUGAAUCUUAUGGAUUUGAAUAUUCUUGCCAGAAUAAAGAGAACUACAUGGAUAAAUAUGUUAGGUAGCAUUCCACAUCAAAAAUUCGGUUUCAUUAGCGGCGUGCCCUGCACCCAUUUAUCACGUCGUAUCUCUGUAGUAUGCGCAUUCCCAAUUUGUCACGACAUACCCUCCUUCAAACCUUCUUGCCCUUUCAGAUUAGCACGCCAAGCUAGCUAUGCACUAUGCGGGAACCUGCAUUUGAAAAAAAAAGAAUCUCAUUUCAUGGUAUCUUCCAUGAAGGACCCUCGUACAUGAGCUAUCUAGAUAUAAAUAGCCCUGUAUGUUUAGCAAACUUUGCAUAAGUGAAUAGAUCAAGGUCGUGGAACCCCAAGCCUCCAAUUACACACGGCCUCUCUACCAAUAAGAUCUCCAAAGACAUCAAGGAUACAAACAGCCAAAAAAGAAAAUAAAAAGGAAAAAAAUAAAAAAUACCCCACCAUGGUGAUCAAUCACAAGCAUCAGCAGCACUCUAACCACCACCAAAGACAACGCCCAGAUUACAAAAAAAAAUCUCGAAAAGCAAUGCCCCCAAGAAGGAAACAAUACACAAGCGUUGUCGUUGCCCGAUCGAAGAUCGUGGGUUUUCACCCUGGAAAAUUUUUGAGUUCACCCAAAAACAAUGCCUUCAACAAGGCCAUUGCCAAGUACAACAAAUAUGGCCAAGACCUUGGGUUUUCACCCUAGGAAUUGAGAGUCGAUGCUCGAGGAGUACCACCAAAAAUGCAGUCCACUAGUGUUGCCGCCCCCACUUGGCGAGGCCGCUGUUGCAAGUCACCAAACACCUGGCAUAUAGUUGUCAUCGCAUCCAAUACACCCUUCGGCCGAAGCUUCAAGACCUUGAUCCGUCUCCAACGUAUCUAUAAUUUUUGAUUGUUCCAUGCAAUUAUAUUAUCUGUUUUGGAUGUUUUAUAUGAGUAGGGCGUUUUGGUGCCCAGGCUCAUCUGCACCCGGUUAGAAAAAAUUCAUAAAAAAUUGAAACAAAUUCAAAAAAUUCCAAAUAAAAUUUGUAUGGUAGACAAUUUGAUGCGUGAGGCCCGCCACAAAUUUCAAGUCAUUUGGACAUAUGAGAAGCUCUCAGCAAAAAAGACAAAUCGGACCAAAAUAGUACAUGAGCAGUAAACAUUUUUACAGACCCUCAAUUUGUCUUUUUUGCUGAGAGCUGCUCAUAUAUUCAAAUGACUUGAAAUUUGGAGCGGGCCCCGCACAUCAAAAUUUCUAUCACACAAAUUUUAUUUGGAAUUUUUUGAAUUUUUCUAGUAUUUGUUUUGAUUUUUUUCAUCGGCACGGGUGCAGAUGAGCUCAGGUGCAGAAAUGGAUUUUCGGUUUUAUAUGCACUAUUAUGCUAUUUUAUAUGAUUUUUGGGACUAACCUAUUAAACUAGAGCCGAGUGCCAGUUCCUGUUUUUUCCUUGUUUUAGAAUUUCACAGAAAAGGAAUACCAAACGGAGUCCAAACGGAAUGAAACGUUUGCGAUGAUGUUUCUUAGACCAGAAGACAUCUAGAGGACUUGGAGUGCACGUUAGGAAAGCCAUGAGGUGGUCACAAUUACGGAGGGCGCGCCCCCACCCAUGUGGGCUCCUCGUGACUGUACCGACCUAUUUGUCCGCAUAUAUAUUCUCAAAUAUUCCAAAACCUACUAGGAGAGCCACAAAAACACUUUUCCACCGUCGCAACCUUCUGUACGCAUGAGAUCCCAUCUAGGGGCCUUUUCUGGCAUCCUGUCGGAGGGGGAUUCGAUCACGGAGGGCUUCUACAUCAACACCAUUGCCUCUCCGAUGAAGCGUGAGUAGUUUACCACAGACCUAUGAGUCCAUAGCUAGUAUCUAGACGGCUUCUUCUCUCUCUUUGAUUCUCAAUACCAUGUUCUCUUCGAUGUUCUUGGAGAUCUAUUCGUUGUAAUACUCUUUUUGCGGUGUGUUUGCCGAGAUCUGAUGAAUUGUGGAUAUAUGAUCAGGUUAUCUAUGAAUAUUAUUUGAAUCUCCUAUGAAUUCUUAUAUGCAUGAUUUGAUAUCUUUGCAAGUCUCUUCGAACUAUCAAUUUGGUUUGGCCAACUAGAUUGGUUUUUCUUGCAAUGGGAGAAGUGCUUAACUUUGGGUUCAAUCUUGCGUCUCCAAUGUAUCCCAGUGACAGAAGGGGAUGAUACGUCUCCAACGUAUCUAUAAUUUUUGAUUGUUCCAUGCUAUUAUAUUAUCAACCUUGGAUGUUUUAUAUGCAUUUAUAUGCUAUUUUAUUUGAUUUUUGGGACUAACCUAUUAACCUAGAGCCCAGUGCCAGUGCCAGUUUCUGUUUUUUCCUUGUUUUAGGGUUUCAAAGAAAAGGAAUAUCAAAAAGAGUCCAAACGGAAUGAAACCUUCGGAAAAGUUAUUUUUGGAAAGAAAGCAAUACGAGAGACUUGGAGUGCACGUCAGGGGAUCAACGAGGAAGCCACGAGGCAGGGGCGCGCCCACCCCCCUGGGCGCGCCCUCCACCCUCGUGGCUCCCCUAAUGUAUUUCUUCCGCCUAUAUAUAUAUCCAUAUACCCUAAAACGAUCGGGGAGCAUAAUAGAUCGGGUGUUCCGCCACAAGAAGCCUCCGUAGCCACCGAAAGCCAAUCUAGACCCAUUCCGGCACCCUGCCGGGGGAGGAAUCCCUCUCCGGUGUCCAUCUUCAUCAUCCCGGUGCUCUCCAUGACGAGGAGGGAGUAGUUCUCCCUCGGGGCUGAGGGUAUGUACCAGUAGCUAUGUGUUUGAUGUCUCUCUCUCUCUCUCUCUCUCUCUCUCUCUCUCUCUCUCUCUCGUGUUCUUGAGGUGAUACGAUCUUGAUGUAUCGCGAGCUUGGCUAUUAGAGUUGGAUCUUAUGUUUCUUCUCCCCCUCUACUCUCUUGUAAUGGAUUGAGUUUCCCCUUCGAAGUUAUCUUAUCGGAUUGAGUCUUUAAAGAUUUGAGAACACUUGAUGUAUGUCUUGCCGUGCGUAUCUGUGGUGACAAUGGGAUAUCACGUGAUUCAUUUGAUGUAUGUUUUGGUGAUCAAGUUGCGGGUUCCACCCAUGAACCUAUGCAUAGGGGUUGGCACACAUAUUCGUCAUGAUUCGCAGAAACUUUGGGGCACUCUUUGAGGUUCUAUGUGUUGGUUGAAUAGAUGAAUCUGAGAUUGUGUGAUGCAUAUCGGAUAAUCAUACCCACGGAUACUUGAGGUGACAAUGGAGUAUCUAGGUGACAUUAGGGUUUUGGUUGAUUUGUGUCUUAAGGUGUUAUUCUAGUACGAACUCUAGGGCUGUUUGUGACACUUAUAGGAAUAGCCCAAUGGAUUGAUUGGAAAGAAUAACUUGGAGGUGGUUUCAUACCCUACCAUAAUCUCUUCGUUCGUUCUCCGCUAUUAGUGACUUUGGAGUGAUUCUUUGUUGCAUGUUGAGGGAUAGUUAUGUGAUCCAAUUAUGUUAUUAUUGUUGAGAGAACUUGCACUAGUGAAAGUAUGAACCCUAGGCCUUGUUUCAACGCAUUGCAAUACCGUUUACGCUCACUUUUAUCAUUAGUUACCUUGUUGUUUUUAUAUUUUCAGAUUACAAAAACCUUUAUCUACCAUCCAUAUACCACUUGUAUCACCAUCUCUUCGCCGAACUAGUGCACCGAUACAAUUUACCAUUGUAUUGGGUGUGUUGGGGACACAAGAGACUCUUUGUUAUUUGGUUGCAGGGUUGGUUGAGAGAGACCAUCUUCAUCCUACGCCUCCUACGGAUUGAUAAACCUUAGGUCAUCCACUUGAGGAAAAUUUGCUACUGUCCUACAAACCUCUGCACUUGGAGGCCCAACAACGUCUACAGGAGGAAGGUUGUGUUGUAGACAUCAGGGGAACCGACACAUAUUGUAGUGUUUCCAUCGAGGAUAACAAGAUGGGGUUUUCGUCAUAUUGCUUGAGUUUAUCCCGCUACAUCAAGUCAUCUUACUUAAUGCGUUAUCCUGUUCUUAUGAACUUAGUACUCUAGAUGCAGGCAGGAGUCAGUGGAUGUGUGGAGUAAUAGUAGUAGAUGCAAGCAGGAGUCAGUCUACUUGAUACAAACGUGAUGCUUAUGUUCAUGAUCAUUGCCUUAGAUAUCGUCAUAAGUUUGCACUUUUCAAUCAAUUGCUCAGCAGUAAUUUGUUCACCCACCAUAAGAUUUUCUAUCUUGAGAGAAGCCUCUAGUGAAACUUAUGGCCCCGGGGUCUACUUUCCAUCAUAUAAGUUUCCGAUCUACAAAUGUGUUGGUUGAAUAGAUGAAUCUGAGAUUGUGUGAUGCAUAUCGUAUAAUCAUACCCACGGAUACUUGAGGUGACAAUGGAGUACCUAGGUGACAUUAGUGUUUUGGUUGAUUUAUGUCUUAAGGUGUUAUUCUAGUACGAACUCUAGGGCUGUUUGUGACACUUAUAGGAAUAGCCCAACGGAUUGAUUGGAAAGAAUAACUUUGAGGUGGUUUCGUACCCUACCAUAAUCUCUUCGUUCGUUCUCCGCUAUUAAUGACUUUGGAGUGACUCUUUGUUGCAUGUUGAGGGAUAGUUAUGUGAUCCAAUUAUGUUAUUAUUGUUGAGAGAACUUGCACUAGUGAAAGUAUGAACCCUAGGCCUUGUUUCAACGCAUUGCAAUACCGUUUACGCUCACUUUUAUCAUUAGUUACCUUGCUGUUUUUAUAUUUUCAGAUUACAAAAACCUUUAUCUACCAUCCAUAUACCACUUGUAUCACCAUCUCUUCGCUGAACUAGUGCACCUAUACAAUUUACCAUUGUAUUGGGUGUGUUGGGGACACAAGAGACUCUUUGUUAUUUGGUUGCAGGGUUGCUUGAGAGAGACCAUCUUCAUCCUACGCCUCCUAUGGAUUGAUAAACCUUAGGUCACCCACUUGAGGGAAAUUUGCUACUGUCCUACAAACCUCUGCACUUGGAGGCCCAACAACGUCUACAAGAAGGUUGUGUAGUAGACAUCAGGGGAACCGACACAUAUUGUAUUGUUUCCAUCGAGGAUAACAAGAUGGGGUUUUCGUCAUAUUGCUUGAGUUUAUCCCGCUGCAUCAAGUCAUCUUACUUAAUGCGUUAUCCUGUUCUUAUGAACUUAAUACUCUAGAUGUAGGCAGGAGUCGGUGGACGUGUGGAGUAAUAGUAGUAGAUGCAAGCAGGAGUCAGUCUAGUUGAUACAAACGUGAUGCUUCUGUUCAUGAUCAUUGCCUUAGAUAUCGUCAUAACUUUGCGCUUUUAUAUCAAUUGCUCAACAGUAAUUUGUUCACCCACCGUAAGAUUUUCUAUCUUGAGAGAAGCCUCUAGUGAAACUAUGGCCCCGGGGUCUACUUUCCAUCAUAUAAGUUGCCGAUCUACAAUUUUAGUUUCCUAUCACUUCCUUUGCAAUCUUUUACUUUCCGUUCCAUAAAUCAAAAAUACCAAAAAUAUUACUUUACCGAUUAUCCAUCUCUAUCAGAUCUCGCUUUGCAAAUAACCAUGAAGGAUUGACAACCCCUUUAUCGCAUUGGGUGUAAGGUGCUAUUUCUUUGUGCAGGUCAGUGACUUGUGCAUUGUCUCCUACUGGAUUGAUACCUUGGUUCUCAAAACUGAGGGAAAUACUUACUCUACUUUGCUGCAUCACCCUUUCCACUUCAAGGGAAAAACCAACGCAAGCUCAAGAGGAAGUAGGAAGAAUUUCUGGCACCGUUGCCGGGGACAUCUACGCCAAGUCAAGACAUACCAAGUACCCAUCAUAAACUCUCAUCUCUGGCAUUAUAUUAUUUGCCAUUCACCUCUCGUUUUCCUCUCCCCCACUUAUAAAAUGAUUUGCCUUUUCUUCGCCCUCUUCCAUUCGUCUUCUUCGCUUGCUUUUUGUGUGCUCAUGUGUUGGAUUGCUUGCUUUGUCACGAUGUCUCAAGAGAAUACCAAAUUGUGUGACUUUUCCAAUACCAACAACAAUGAUUUUAUUAGUACCCCGAUUGCUCCCGCUACUAAUGCGGAAUCUUGUGAAAUUAAUGCUGCUUUGCGGAGUCUUGUUAUGAAAGAUCAAUUUUCCGGCCUUCCCAAUGAAGAUGCCGCAUCCCAUCUAAACAAUUUCGUUGAUUUGUGUGUUAUGAAAAAGAAAAAAGAUAUGGAUAAUGAUAUUGUUAAAUUGAAGCUAUUUCCGUUGUCACUUCGAGAUCGUGCUAAAACUAGGUUUUCAUCUUUGCCUAAAAAUAGCGAGUGUCAUUUUUUAAUGCGAGUGAUUAGUUUUUAAAGAAUGAUUGGCAUUCUUUCUUAAUUGCUCAUCUACUAAUCGUUUGGCGUGUUUUCUUAUCUUGUCAAAAUCAUAUCCCCUGGCUGUAAAUAUCAAAGAAUAAUUUCAUUUGUUGGGCUUGGACUGUACUGUCCGAGAGUCAGAGUAUAAAUACCAUACGAUUUCAAGAGCAAUAGCAACGGGGCAACCAUUAGUCCAUACUCUACACCAUAUGGCUAGAAAUUUUAUAUUAUAUAUAACAAAGUUGUGACAAAUUGGAAAUGGAAAACAAUAAAAUGAAUAUGUUGCUAUAGGUUAUUAUUAUUACACAUGCACGUGUAUCUUGAUCCUUGCUUGGACAUAGGGUCCGAGGAAGUUACAUUGCUUUGACUACUGAUAUUGUUUGUGUCAAAGUGUGCCACAAUGGCAUAAAUAUUGUCGUUGCAUAAUGGGAAACCACGUCAUAUUUAUCGAUGAUAUGUGGAAAUAGGGAUGAGCUACUUUAUGAAGAUAUAUAAGGAUGUAUGGGUUACGUUGGUGGAAAAUGUUGUUAUGAACACAAAUGCAGUUGCAUUUAUCCUGCAUUCGCGGUGAAGUGCGCUAUUGUGGCAUAUAUCUUCCUUUUUGCCACAGAAGCAUGGUAGAAUUAUAAAGAGAGUAUGUUUCUAUAGACAUUUCAAAAAGGAGAUUUGUGUAUACUCUCAUUAUACUGUAAGCACCAUAGAUUAUUCAGAUUAGAAGUUGUUGUCUCUACCACAUAUUUAUAUUUUCUAUACAUACUAAUAUCGCAUAGAAAAUCAUGUAUUUAUAUGAGAUCUUUGUGGUGCAUGAUAAAGCAAGAUUCCUUUUGUUAUUGCAGCAAUUUAUAAGUAUUUAAAUAUAUACUAAUAGCUAGUUUCUUCUGUGUUAUAAGGACAAAAUAAGACAUGCAUAGACAUGCAAAUACGUAUUAGAAAUCUGCUACUCCAAAUGUAUCAUGUUAAUCCAUGUAAGCCACGAAUCGCGUGCAUAUCAGGCAAAGCAGUUUUUUUUGUAAAAACAAUACAUAAUACUAAUCGAUGGUAUAGACGAUUCAAUACAUAUGCAUCAAGACACCGCUACCUUGCACAUAGUGAUAUAGGAUGGAAUUGAAUCUGAUCCGCUCCUUUCCAACUUAAUCGAGUAAUGUGUACUUCUCAUAAAUAGGCAUGUAUAUAGUAAUUGUUCUUUUGACCAAAUGCUUGGUAUAUUAAUGAUCACAUUAUACAUUUAUGUAACAUUUCUUACUUGCGAAAUCUUUUACAAAUUGGAAUAUGGGAAUUUUAUUAAUACCUAGAAGAAAUACUACUAUUCAGAAAAUAUAAUAACUGGUACUAUACUUUUUCUUAAUAUUGGUACUAUACUUAAUUGGACCAAAAGUUACACAUAUUUUUGAUUAGUUCAUUUUUUUCUACAGAUUUAUCAGCGCCAUUAUUUCUCUAUGGUUGACAUGUAUAUGAACUACUGUCUGUAUAUAUUGAUCUGCAUUUAGACAAAUAUCAGGGACAAACACACAUACUGUUUAGCAUGUGUAGUUGUAAAGGUAGAAUACUGAUUUGUAGUAUUAAGCAAAUACAUUUAUAAGAUCUUACUACAAUGUAUAUGGAUUGAGAAUCAGAGAAAUAACCAAGUGUUGUGCAAGGAUCAUUCUGACUAUCCAGUGGCAGAAUAAAAAUAGGAUGCUAAGCGCGGGGAGAAUACAUAUGUCCUAUAAACCUGCAAAUAAGAAGCAUCCAUUCACCAUAUAUUAAAAUUCCAAAUUUGAUAGUUCCUUUGCAUGUUGGAAAUAAGCUUUGCCCCUUGUGAUAUGGAUUAUCACGUAGAAUGGAAAGAGGAGAAAAAAAUUAUGGCUUAGCAGAAUCAAUGAGGGAAAGCACUACAUGUGAAGUAUCAAAACGUUGUGAUAGCACGAACCCCACCAGAUUUGAACUCGUGCUCUUAGUAUGACAUGAAAAGAGGGGCUACUCUCCAAUCGAAGUGAAAAUAGUAGAACUUUGAACUUAUAUAUAUAUACGCUUAAAAAUUCUAAAAGCAAAUGGUCAAAAACUCAGAAUAGCUUGAGCGGGCACUACUUGCUAACUCAAGCACAUGGCAACACAGUAUUAAGUCAAGAUUUUGCAACCGAGAGGGAAAGUCAAAUAAAUAAAUAAAUAAGGAUUCUCAUCAAACCUGUGAAUCCAAGCUAGUAUAUAACUAUUGUAUUGCCCAUUGUUUGCAUAGGCGGUAAACAAUUCUGUGUCGGUUUGCAUUUCCAGAUGUGGCUCUAUAUCCUCCCCUUCUAUCGGAAUGCCAAAUAUACCUUGCACGUCCUCUUUUGUUAUAGGAAUUGGCGUUUUACCGAUGGUAAUGGAUUGCGUGUCCAUAUCUAUGCUCUUGGCUAGUCUAACCAACAUUAUGCGCCGUAGAGUCACUUCAUGCAUCUGGGUCAGACCGGCAAGACUGGUUUCUGAUAUGAUGUACUUUCUGUGGUCUUGUGACAACAGUUUCAUGGUUUUUCCGAACCUUGUCUGUGAGCAUACUAACUUCAUAUGACCAUGCUUUUCGGCGAGUUCCUGUUACAUGCCAUUAAAUAUUACUGAGUACACAUGAAUUAUGUGUACGAAACGAUUGUACCCAAACAGUAAAUUACUUACCGCAUCGGUAAUUUCGGAGAUGGGCUUUUCUCCAUUAUUAAGGUUCGUAUCUGAAACUGACAUUGCUGCCUCGUAUGCAAUGAUAAAAUCAGGCUCAAUUAAUCUGAACAAAAUUGGAAAAUGUAUAACAAAAUUAGCAGAGAAUUAAUUUUAACAAAAUUAACUGGGUCAUUUAACAUAUGAUCCACUUAUGGGUUUAAGCACAGAACCUAUUUGGGUGCAAAACCUAUGAGGGUUCAACAACUAAAGCAUCGGCGGACAACGAUUAUAAAGAGUUACAAUCAGCUAAGACCUUACCUCGGAGAUGGUGCCACCGAGUAGAUGGCGGCGGUUAGUGCGUCGGAAACUAUAAGUGCCGGUAUAGCGCGGUCGACGGCGCAAAGGAAAAACAGCAUGUUCACGCGAGGAGGAGGCGGCGAGAAGAACACUGACGUCCGAGCCCUUAGAUCACGUUGGCGGUGGGCGGCGAGUGGUGGCCGCCGACUCCUGUAUUCCGUGGGCGACCGGCGUCUCCGAUCUGAUCUUGCAGCGGUCGUGGGAGGUGCGGACGGCCCGGGUGGUUAGAAUGCGGAGCUGUAAUCGCGGGAUUUAGGGAGGGGUGGGCCGCGUGAGUUAUGUGAGAUUUGGAUAAAUGAUAUAAAGAAAUAAGAAAAUCUUGUGAACUCGAUGUGGGGUUUAUGGGGUUUAGGGUUUAGGGGUUUAGGGUUAUUAGGGUUUAGGGGUUUAGGGGUUUAGGGGUUUAGGGUUAUCAGGGGUUAGAGUUAUCAGGGUUUAGGGUUGAGUGUUUACAUGCAAGCCCGGAAAUGCGCGUGUCAGAGAACGUACUUGCAUGUAUAUGUACUAAUGAUCCCAAACUUUCUUAAUGGCAUCCCAUGACCACAUAGAGAAUGAAUGCAUAAUGGUUUCCAUGUUGGGCAAAAUUUUGAAUGUUUUUACGGUUUAGUGGGGGGGUGGGGUUAGGGUUAUGAGGGUUUAGGGUUUAAGGGUUCUAGGGUUGACGGAACUAUGUUUGUCUUACGGUGGACGUAGCACACACACCGGACAUUGGUGGAGCGUUGUCUACAAUGGACUCCCUCUGGUAGCAUCGAUCCGAUCCGUUGAAUGGCUCGGCCGACAAACUUCGUGCCAGAUAGAGCAUGCAUCCAUCCACUGGACCGGAUCAAUGUUGGGUUCGUUUCAUACAGGUGAGGAAAGCAGCUAGUGCUUUCGGGGUGUUGACAUGCUAGGCCAGAAAUGUGCGUGUCAGAUUUCGUACUUGCAUGUAUAAUCCCAAACUUUUUNNNNNNNNNNNNNNNNNNNNNNNNNNNNNNNNNNNNNNNNNNNNNNNNNNNNNNNNNNNNNNNNNNNNNNNNNNNNNNNNNNNNNNNNNNNNNNNNNNNNNNNNNNNNNNNNNNNNNNNNNNNNNNNNNNNNNNNNNNNNNNNNNNNNNNNNNNNNNNNNNNNNNNNNNNNNNNNNNNNNNNNNNNNNNNNNNNNNNNNNNNNNNNNNNNNNNNNNNNNNNNNNNNNNNNNNNNNNNNNNNNNNNNNNNNNNNNNNNNNNNNNNNNNNNNNNNNNNNNNNNNNNNNNNNNNNNNNNNNNNNNNNNNNNNNNNNNNNNNNNNNNNNNNNNNNNNNNNNNNNNNNNNNNNNNNNNNNNNNNNNNNNNNNNNNNNNNNNNNNNNNNNNNNNNNNNNNNNNNNNNNNNNNNNNNNNNNNNNNNNNNNNNNNNNNNNNNNNNNNNNNNNNNNNNNNNNNNNNNNNNNNNNNNNNNNNNNNNNNNNNNNNNNNNNNNNNNNNNNNNNNNNNNNNNNNNUUUAGGGUUAACGGAACUAUGUUUUUCUUACGGUGGACUUAGCACACACACCGGACAUUGAUGGAGCGUUGGUCUACAAUGAAUUCCCUCCGGUAGCAUCGAUCCGUUCCGUUGACUGGCUCGGACGACAAACUUCGUGCCACAUAGAGUAUGCAUCCAUCCACUAGACCGGAUCGAUGUUUGGUUGGUUUCAUACAGGUGAGGAACCCAGCUAGUGCUUUUGGGGUGUUGACAUGCUAGGCCGGAAAUGUGCGUGUCAGAGAUCGUACUUGCGUGUAUAAUCCCAAAAAUCUUUCAUGGCAUCCCAUGACCACAUAGAGAAUGCAUGCAUAAUGGUUUCCAUGUUGGGCAAAAUUUUGAAUGUUUUUACGGUUUAGUGGGGGGGGGUGGGGUUAGGGUUAUCAGGGUUUAGGGUUUACGGGUUCUAGGGUUGACGAAGCACACACACCGGACAUUGAUGGAGCGUUGGUCUACAAUGGAGUCCCUCCUGUAGCGUCGAUCUGGUCCGUCGACUGGCUCGGUCGACAUACUUCGUGCCACAUAGAGCAUGCAUGCAUCCACUGAACCGGAUCAAUGUUGGGUUGGUUUACAUGUACAUGUACACGGACCCGAAAUGCGCGUGUCAGAGAUCGUACUUGCGUGUACAUGUACCAUCCUUCCAUCCACUGGCUGGGCCGACAACCUUCAUGCCACAUUGUUCACAUUGUCCAAUUAACACUUUGUAUAGAUUUUUUUCAUAAAAAAUGAACGAAAUAAUGCAACUAAUCUGAACAUAACGUUUGGCAUAUAUCAAACCAAGUUGCCACUAUUCCUCAAAAAAAAGAACCCAGUUAGCCACUAAUUGCGCCAAACAUAUCUCGUAAUUACGAACGAAAAUGGGUUGACAAUUAUAUCUGGAAAUUCUUGGACUGAAUUUAAUGCUCUUCCUUUUUUAGAGAACAAUAAGUUAGAAUGGUGGGCGGCGGGUUGGCACGGGCACGGCCAUGGCUCGGGCUUGUGUCAUAUGUGGUUCGACCCGCGGUCAGUGCACAUGUUUUCGAAGCCCUGAAAAGAUCGUGCUCGUUAAAAAAAACUUGCAUCGACGCGCAUUACUUCAAAAUAACUAAUUAACCCUACAAUCACGGAUAUAGACCUUCCCAUUCUACCGCAUAUCUACCCUAUCCUAUCCACCCCAUCUACCUUGUUUCUCCUCACAUAGCCAUCGCCGGGAUCGCGCCAUCGCUUCUCAAGCGACCACGCCGACGCCGGAUUAAAAAGGUCUCUUCCACGGCUUCUCUCAUCUUCGAUUGCAGUGCUGAUUAUUUUUUCCAUUGAUUCGACCAACAAGUAAUUUCCGAAGAGAUUAGAAAAUCCAGCUUUUGCCAUAGUUGAGUAGUUCUGUUGUGAUUCGAGUACAGGAUGUCAUGCAAGAGCUUUUUGAUUAAUAGUUUGUACUAGUUGAUCAUACGAACUUAUUAUGAAUAUUUUUUCACGGUCGUAUUGUUUCGAAUUAGUUGGAUGAGGGUGUGGAUACAGUUUUCAUACUAUGGGUAUAUGUGUUGCUGUAGGGACCAUGGUCUCAGAGGCGCAUAACAACCGUGCGGAGUACGACAAGUCUUUGCAUGAAGCGCGUCGGGAGAUCGACUUGAAGGUGCAAAAGGAUCGCGCUGAGGUAGAUAAGAAACUGAAAAAAGAACGUUCAUACGUGGACAGGAUGAUAAAGGAGGAGCGUGAGGAGUUUUCCCUUAAGAUGGCGAAGAUGCGUCUUGAGAUUGAAGAAAAGUAUAAGAGGGACUGUGAGCACAUGGAAAAAAAGUUUGUCUUAGGCUACAAGGAAAUGCAUCAAACGUUGCAGAAGGACCGGAAGCUUGUGGACAGUAUUAUACAGACAGAGCGAGUCAGGAUGGAUGCCUAUGUGUUGCAGGCACGUGCGGAUAUGGACAGUAAGCUGCUACAGGAGCGGUCAGACAUGGAUUAUAAGGCCAUGCUGGAGAAGGUCCGCUUGGAAGGACAUAUGUUAGAAGACCGUGCGAUCUCACGGCCACCACGACAACAUGUCAUCAAUUAUUCUCCCCCUGUAAGUAUCUCGCACCGAUUCUAUAUAUUAAGGACCUACGUAUUCUAUGAUAUAAACAUCUUCAAUUUGUGGCAACCUUAUGUCGGCGAUUGUAUGUAGGCUAAGCAUCAUGACACGGCACAGUCGCCAUUCACUCGACACAUUGCGAUAGAGUCACCCGUUCAAUGCCACAUCAGUCCACCCCAACAACAUAUCGUCAAUUCUCCCCUUGUAAGUACCUCGCAACGAUGCAUACCCAAGAUAUGGUAUGACCUUUCAAAACUUGUGUGUAAACCCACUAUCAACGUUUCAUACGCAGGAUAAGAAACCUGUGAUGGCAAAGUCCCCAGUCACACCACAUGAAGGAUACAUUCCACAUAAUAAGGUGAGAAGGUUUGAGAUGGCACAAUCCCCAGUCACUCCACAUAAAGGAUACAUUCCACAAAAACAGGUAACAACGCCGCAAUGUUGCUAUGCACAUAAAAAAUUAUGUGUGCCCCUUUACUCAUUGAAUGUAUUAACUCUGAUGUGAGAUACUAGGUGCUGGUCAUGGAAUUUUUUGUUAGUAGGGAUGAUGAGAUGUCACAUGUCCCGAGAGCAUAGUUUGAUGAACACCCGGCAGAAGUCAGAAUUUUUGAACCCGCCAAAGUUGCCUACGAUCUCAUUAUGAGUGAAAUGAGAGAUACUUUUGGUUGCAAACUGGGAGCAGAACUGUACUACUUCUUACCCGGGUCUGCGUGGAAGCUGCCAGAAGGAAUGUUCUUGAUUGCAGGACUAGAUGAUGUACAAAAAAUGCUUUUUGAUCUGAAUGGCAGCAAGACAUGUCACCUGUACAUUGUGUACAAUAGAACUAUGGGUUGUUUUCCCGAGGAUGACAUUGAUUCCGAGGUUCAAAUUUUACAUGUUACAUGCAUCUAGUUUAUGGCUACGUCUUUUUUGAGUUCUUCCUAAUACAAUUCCUAUGGUUUUCUACAGGAAGUGAGAAUCCAAGAAAUGGAGGGUCUUGCUAGAGAGUUGGCAGAGAAAGACCAAGAACAACUUAAGUUGUAUGGUUACAUUGAUGUUAAAGAGAAAAAGAUUGAAGCACGUGGGUCGUCGCCAAGCCCGACGCAAUCUCCAACGACGCAACGCAAGAGGUCACUGGAUUUUGGCAGUGCAAAAGACAAUAUGGAGUAGGCUCAAUUGUUUUUCAACCAGUUAAAGCUUCAAACCAGGAUUAUUUAGUUGCAAACAAACAUUUUAUUUUCUGUUUCACACUAUGUUCGCAAUUAUGGUACAAUUUAUUCAUGAGACAUUUCGUUGAACAACAAUGCAUGUGUUUUAUGAUCAAUCAUACAGUUGUUUCUGAGUUGUUUUUGAGAUGGCAUUGUGUCUAAAGAAGUUUCCAUCUAUAAAACUUGGCACACAGUCGCAUCAGAAUCACGUAUCACGCGAGAGGCGUGCGUCGCACGGGAGAGCGUCGCACGCGAGCUUGUUUUCGGGUAGAAAUCAUAACAUAUUUCGGAUAGAUAAAGUUCACGUCCGCCACCCGCGCAUGCAAACCCACGUCGCCGCCAUUCCCAUGCAUGCAUGCCUCAGGCGCAAACAACGAGACGGCCCAUCCGAAUGAGGCCCAUCCGAAGUAGGCCAUUAGAACCCUCCCCCCACUCCACCUAUUCCCCUCGCACUGUGGCCUCCCUCCCUCCAUCGCCAGAUCCCCCACUCGUCCCUCUUUGUCCGCCGCCCCUGCACGCCGUCGGCGACUCCACCCCCGCCGCCCCCGCGCCCCCUCCUCAACCACCGCAGGACAACGCAGGUACCACAGUUUCUGUUGACGUCUCAAUGGUAUCCAUGCAGAUAAUGCUAGGUAGAUCGACUGAGUGUAGCAAUUUUGUGCCACCAUCUGAAACUUGUGAUGCUUGCUACUGUAUAAUAUAGGACUUUUCAAAGUUCUGUUAUGAUGGCACUAUUGGACACAUAUAGUAGAGCUGCGUUUUUAGUUGUUAUACUUUCAUUUACCAUCACUGCUUGGGAAAGGACGAAUUGGAUGCAUUUAGGUCUGCAGUUGAUAGUAUAUCAUCAUAAUGUAGGUGCUGUGUUGUGUGAUUCUUCAUGCUGAGAACUUCGGCUUUUUCAGUUAUAGUGAAAGGCUUAUGUAUAGAAAAACUACUAAAUGAUCACAAAAACUUCUAGACAACAUUCUGUAUGAUCUGACCAAAACUUGAACUAAAUGAUCACCAAAAGUUGAAGGAUUUUGCAUCACAUCACAACCAUAAGUGUUUUGCAACAGCAUCAUAACAAUCACAUAACUACAUAACAAAAGCAAACUUGUUCAUCAUUACAAAAGCAAACUUGUUCAACAUAACAAAAGCUAACUUGUUCAGCAAUACAAAAGCAAACUUGUUCAACAUAACAAAAGCUAACUUGUUCAGCAUUACAAAAGGAAACUUGUUCAACCACAUAACUGCAAACUGAGACACAUAAUACCACAAACAACUCAAUAUCCUCAGUAGUAGGGGCCAUCCCAAUGAUGCUCCGCCUCUUGCCAGUACUCCAAACCUUCUUUGACGAUAUCGAUUUUCUUCCAUGCCUCGUAGGUGACGUACACAUCUUUUGCUGCGUACUCGAUGAGGUUGUUUGGCAGUGGGCUGUCCCCCCAUAGUUUGUGGUCCAAUUCCUUGUUGAUCUUCUUCUUCAUUUCCUUGUACGAUGGGUGGAUGAGGCUGGCUGCAAACUCAGCCAAAGCCUGCCACUUCUUUCCAUUCCUUGGAACUCUCCAUUUGCGCUGCAUGUCGACAUACUUGUCGGGGUUGAUCUCCAAACCAGACAAUUUCAGCUUCUCCUUGUCACCUCCAAUGGAGAUGCCAACAAAGGUGUAGAGCUUCUUCUCCUGCAGGAGCGGGCGGAGUUCCUUAGGCCUGCAUCAAAUUAAUCUGGUGCAUCAAAUUCAUCUACUUCAAAAACUUUAGAAACUACUAAUUAGACAUAAAAUUCAGAACUAGUAUUGCAUCUACUCCAGAACUUCAGAACUAGUAUUGCAUCUACUUCAGAACUUCAGAACUAUUGCAUCUACUUGAGAAACUUCAGAAACUUCAGAACUAUUGCAUCUACUUGAGAAACUUCAGAAACUACUAAUUAGACAGAAACUUCAGAACUAGUAUUGCAUCUACUUCAGAACUAUUGCAUCUACUUCAGAAACUACAGAAACUACUAAUUAGACAGAAACUUCAGAACUUCAGAACUAGUAUUGCAUCUACUUCAGAACUACAGAACUAUUGCGUCUACUUCAGAAACUUCAGAAAUUACUAAGUAGACAGAAACGUCAGAACUUCAGAAACUUCAGAACUAGAUGUUUUUACCAUUUGGUUGCCGCGGUGAUGUGGUAUACCAGGACGAGAUCCUCCACGCAUAACUGUAGAACUGCAGCCUUUUGCGGAGGUUCAUCUUCCCUCGUAUACUCGACAUCAACGCCGAUCGACCGAGGAAACAUGCCGCCGAGCCUCCUCCUGAUCUCGCGGAUCCUCUUGUCGGCUUCGCCUGGAUUGCUGGUGCAUACGACAUCCAGCUUCUCCUUCAGGUGGAUAUCAACCAUGAGCUUCACGGUGUAGUCCUGCUUCUGCCCGGGGACCGGAACAUCGUCGUCGACCACCAGCGGCUCCUUGCCAGACGCCUCACCUUGGUGAUGCUUGCCAGAUGGAGGGGAGUUGCUCCAUGAUGCCUCCGCCAUUUUCUUGGCAGACGGAGGGGAGUUGCUCCAUGAUUCCUCUGCGAUUGCCCUCCUGGCCAGCGAUGGUGGAGGCAGAGGGGAGUUGCUUGAUGGUGGAGGCAGAGGGGGGAAGAUGGAGCGGCAAUGGAAUAAGGAGGGAGGCAGAGGGAGGCAGAUUGAGCGGCAAUGGAAUAGGAGGGGAGUUCCCUGCGUCGUGGGGAGUUGCCAAUGAAGGGGAGUCGUGGGGAGUUGCCAGUGGAAGGGAGGCGUGGGGAGUUGCCUCAAAAACUCAAACGUCCUGCCCUUUGGCCCUUGAAAAAUCUGGAGGGGAGACGUGGGCCCUUUGGUUUGUCCUGUUUCUGAAACAAAACAAAAAAAAUAACAGCCAUAUUUUCCUCUCACUGCAACCAUAUUAAGAGAUAAAAAAUGGCACCAAAAAGUCACUGCAGCCAUCCUAAAUGGCACGAAAACAGCACCAAAACAACAUCAGCCAAAACAACAAAAAAUGCAUCCAUCGAUCGUUCUUUAUUUCUUGUAACAUUCCGUGUUUUGUGCAGUGAGAUAGACACAACACUACAAAUGCAGGCUGACAACGCCCGCGAUUUCAUGACCAUCAGGACAGACGGCGGCUUCAUCCACGCUCCGGUCCCAUGAGUCGAGUCGAAAGUAGUGAUGCUAUGUGUAGUUCUGAAACAUUGAUUGGCUCAUGUUGUAAUUAAACUUUAAUGAAUUGUAUGUCUCUUUGGUUUGGACAGUCGUUAAACUUAGAUGUAAUCGAUGCUAUUUAUUACUAGGACCAUGAAUUGUGCUAUUAAUGUCUUGCUUUUCUCUUCCGAUCCUUUUGUUGCAUACUUAUUUAUUGCUUAUGUACUGUCUGUUGUUUGGCUUGUGCAUCGAGAUGCCAUCGUAUGUCGUGUACAAUGGUAAGGUUCUCGGAGUCUACGAUGACUGGGAGGAGUGUCGGAGACAGGUUCACCGUUUCAGCGGUAACAGUUACAAAGGGUACACCACUAGGGCGGAGGCGGAAUCUAGAUACGCCCGCUAUCUAGCGGGAGAGAGGAGGGAGCGUUGGAGGAACUGGAUGAAGACCAGUUUCAUCGCGAUGAUGCUCAUCGUGAUGACCGCAACUCUCUUCUAUGUGAUGGUAGUUUAGAUGAUCGAUAUCGACUUGUAAUGUGAAGACAAACUCGCUACUCGCGGUCUCGAGACUUGUAAUGUUCUAUCUUUGUUCGGUCUUGUGAAUUCGGAGACUAAUAUGAUGAAUUGUAUUCGGAGAGCUAUCUUCUAUUGUAUUGGAUGAAUGUGCUGUUGCUGUGUGGUGUUGUCUAUAUUCUCUCCAAUAAUAUAUUUUGUAACCUGUGAAAAUAUCAGAAAUGUGCAUUUUUUCGACCACCUCCAAAUCACCUCAGUUUUGGAACACAUGAUCUCUUCCACAAACAAAACUAGGUUUCCAAGUUUUUGUAUUUUUUUAGUUUUUUUUGAAUUUAUAAUGCCCUCUAGACUGACUGCUGAAAACAUCGGUCUAUGCCUCAAGGGGGCAUUGUAAAAUAUUUUUUUUUAAAUUUUCUUGCAUACACAUGUUUUGCACAUGUGGGUCACCAUGUACAAGAAAAUUUGGGUGAUUUGGAGGUGGUGGAAAAAUUCACAUUUUUUCAAAAACUGGCUUAAGUUAGACCAAAUGGUCCCUCCGGGAAUGCGGGCAUUUUUUCGACCACCUCCAAAUCACCUCAGUUUUGGCACACANNNNNNNNNNNNNNNNNNNNNNNNNNNNNNNNNNNNNNNNNNNNNNNNNNNNNNNNNNNNNNNNNNNNNNNNNNNNNNNNNNNNNNNNNNNNNNNNNNNNNNNNNNNNNNNNNNNNNNNNNNNNNNNNNNNNNNNNNNNNNNNNNNNNNNNNNNNNNNNNNNNNNNNNNNNNNNNNNNNNNNNNNNNNNNNNNNNNNNNNNNNNNNNNNNNNNNNNNNNNNNNNNNNNNNNNNNNNNNNNNNNNNNNNNNNNNNNNNNNNNNNNNNNNNNNNNNNNNNNNNNNNNNNNNNNNNNNNNNNNNNNNNNNNNNNNNNNNNNNNNNNNNNNNNNNNNNNNNNNNNNNNNNNNNNNNNNNNNNNNNNNNNNNNNNNNNNNNNNNNNNNNNNNNNNNNNNNNNNNNNNNNNNNNNNNNNNNNNNNNNNNNNNNNNNNNNNNNNNNNNNNNNNNNNNNNNNNNNNNNNNNNCUAGACUGACUACUGAAAACAUCGGUCUAUGCCUCAAGGGGGCAUUGUAAAAUAAUUUUUUUCAAAAUUUUCUUGCAUACACAUGUUUUGCACAUGUGGGUCACCAUGUACAAGAAAAUUUUGGUGAUUUGGAGGUGGUGGAAAAAUUCACGUUUUUUCAAAAACUGGCUUAAGUUAAAGACCAAAUGGUCCCUCCAGGAAUGCGGGCAUUUUUUCGACCACCUCCAAGUCACCUCAGUUUUGGCACACAUGAUCUCUUCCAUAAACAAAUCUAGGUUUCCAAGUUUUUGUAUUUUUUUAAAUUUAUAAUGCCCUCUAGACUGACUGCUGAAAACAUCGGUCUAUGCCUCAAGGGGACCUGCAUGCAAGAGUUGGGGACCUGCAUGCAAGACUCGGGGACCUGCAUGCAAGACUCGGGGACCUGCAUGCAAGAGUCGGGGACCUGCAUGUGAAUAGUGAUUCAUCAAGGCCUUGACAGCUACUGGCACAGCGGCUGCCGCCCGAUUUGCAUGCAGCGAAGAUGAACGUGCAUGGAGGUUUUUCAAAGAUUUCCAAGCACACCCAGUGGGCCCCGCUUAUUUAAAAAAUACGUCAGUCAUUAUUGUUCUGUAAAUGAAGAAUAUGCAUGAUGAUUAUGAAUAUGCAUGAUGAUUAUGAAUAUGGAUGAUGAUUAUGAAUAUGCAUGACAACUAUAGUAAGGGUGAAGAAUCAUAGUGCCCAAUUUGUCGAAAUACAUCAUCAUUCUUAAAGUUGGACAUCAAAUGAUACACACAGAAAAUGGAAACCAAAGAUGUCGAACUAAUACAGUAACAUGCCAGUUCAACCGCACUUCACUAAAUUACUGUCACGAUAAAAUAGAAUGUAAAGACCACGUCACACAAACAUGAAUGACACACGACUUUCUCUGGCUCAUCGUCGGUUCAUGCUGUAUGUAGAUAUCACAGUUCAGCCUCGAUAUCCUACACAGAAGAAUAGAAUAAAUCACAUGGACAUCAAUUAUGAGUAAAACACAUGCAAAAAAAAUAUGAACAUAUUUCGUACCUCUAGCAAUUUAGCGCAUUUACGUCGAUUGUGACCUGGUUUCUUGCAAUAGCCACAGAUAUUCUGUGAUCUUGACUUCUUUGUCUUUGCCUGCAGCCUUUUCUUCGGUGCACCUCGUCCUGGCACAUGCACGGGAUCUAGAACCUUAUCAACUUUCUGCGAGUGCGGCAUCAACGGGCCAAACCUAAUGCUGUUAUGCUGAGCAUUAGUUGACUCCUUAUUGUCAGCUUGUUCAAAACUUGAUUGCUUGCCAUGAUGUUGUGCUUGCAAAAGCAUCUUUAGACGGUGAUAGUCCUCAUCAGAGUGGCAUGCCUGGAAACUUGCGGCGUGACUACAAUUCUGCAACUCGCGGUACCUCUGCAGGCUUAGCGAAUAGUCAUACAUCUGGUUUUUCUGAUAGGUGCGUAUGCACAUUUUGCAUUCAUAGUCCACCUAGUGGGAACGCAACAACCGGGCAGAAUUGUUUGUUUUAAAAUCCCCAAUAUGUAAAAAAUGUGGGAACAUGGUGUGCCUGCGCAUUCCAGCUUACGGUAAGAACAACUCACCCUGUGCAAAAGACCUCCUUGCUCUUCAAUGCGCACUCCAAACUUUAUAUCCAUUCUUUCCUCCUUGGACACAACAUAAGUGGAAUCUUCUGAUCCAUCUAGUAUCUCUCUAAUCUGACAUUUGCUGACAGCAUCUAUGCUCCAUAAGACCAUCUUAAAGACACUAGGUGUGAAAACUGUUGUGGCGUGUUUCUCAAGCGGCGAAGCAUUUUCCUCUGUAAAUGGAACGGACUGCAAGGCUUCGACGUCAUGGAGAGCUUCGUUAAUCCGUCGUGACGCAAGGCAACGCUCAUAGUGCUCUAGCAUUUCAAACAACGACAUCUUACCCUCAAGAUGCGUAUGUAGCAUAGAGUUCAAGCUCUCACUCCUCUGAUUGCUGCUCAGUCCUAGGAAACAACGCCCCUCAAGAUAUGGAGCACACCACAACUUUCUCAUCUGAUACAUCUGAUGCAGCCAAGACUCCUCACUGGUUACUUUAUUCCGUUGUAAGAAUUGUAUCCAUUUUAUCUCAUGCUCUUCAAUGGAAGAAGUAUCAUAAAUGAAAGAUCUGAAUUCCUCCUUUACGUCGUCAUCAUGCAGAUGGCGUACAAUGUUCUGCUGAAUGUGCCAUAUACAUAGUCUAUGAUUUGAGUCUGGCCAAACCACCCUUAUUGCUCUCUGCAUUGCAAGGUCCCCAUCUGUGAUCACAGAUAUCGGAUGCUUCUGUGCCAUGCAAUCAGAAAAGGUCCGCAACAUCCACUCGUAUGCCUGGCUUGUUUCAUGAGAAAUUAAUUAUACCACAGCCAAAUAUAACAAUGUUGCGGUGGUGAUUCAACCCGACAAAAGGCACGAAUGGCAGAUUGUAUUUGUUGGUUCUGUAUCGCUAUCGAAAACAAUGACGUCUCCGAAAGCCUCGUAGUCAAGUCACGAUUGACUGUCAGCCCAGAACAGUCCCUUCAAAUGGCCAUGCUCGUCUACCAAGUACUUGAAGAAAAAAUCCACAUCUCGCUCUCGCCUCGCCAUCAUGUGCAUGAUCACCGUUUUAGCAUCACCGGCACUGAUUGUCUCUUGCUUAUUAGCAUGGCAGAAAUUAUAAACGUCCCUCUUUAUGCAUCCAACCUUAUCAAAUCCACCGUAUUGGAAGCACAAAAUAUCCAUAAUACGGUAUUUGCGGAUCCCACAUUUUUCCAUGUCCGCAAUGUCCGCUUUCUGCUCAUCGCUAAUUCGUCUGUGCGAACGCAACAGACAAGAAAGAUCCCGUGGGGCUAGAGGAUGGCUGUGCUCAUCGAUGAAAUCCUUGACAAACCACCGACCGGUUUCCUCCUGUCUCGUAAUGACCAAUUUAGCAUUACACCCAACACGAGUUAAACUUCGUGGCCUCCUCUUUCUAUCUUCCAUCUUUCUUUUCAUGUGCUUAUCUUCGCGAAACCCUUGACGACUACACACAAUUUUCUUUAAAAUUAUGUAUUUGUUGGAUCCAUCCCACUCAACGUAGCUUUUCCUCACACUAAAACCUUUUUCAAGAGCAUAUUUGUUGUAGAAUUCAUAGCCUUCAGCCUCACUAUCAAACAUCUUGCUGACAACAUUUACAUACUCGAACAUACUCUCAUCACUUGCAUACGCCAUGUCUUCCUGCAUAUGACAUGUGAGGGAAACCAAUCAUCAACAUCUUUCUGUUUAUCAAUGUUGCAGGUGUAAAAUAGCUCAUAGGCAAAGACAAGUGCAUGGAAAAGACUUUGCUGGUUUGACAUGUGAGGGAAACCAAUCAUCAACGUCCAACAAGUACUAUCCUAGCAUGGAUGAUGACUCUAAUAAACUGGAUUCAUACCUGGUACGCGCGAAGAGAUGGGAUCGCCUGCCGCCGUCGCCGCCUAUUCAGCCGGCGCAGAUCCGGCCUUCUUCUUCUUUGGUGACAGCGUGGGGGGCUGGGGUUGGUUGGGUGGAGGACGAGGACGAUGAAUUUAUUCCUCUCACCAGGCAGGUCGAGGACGGAGAAGGUCAGGAGCGGCGACGAAUAGAUCGGAGGAGGUUUCUGAUCUGGAUCGAGUAUACAUGGAUCUGGUCUUCGGGUGAUCGGUUCAAGAAAAGAUUUUUGCCCCUGGACCAUUAUGCCCUUAUCGCUUAAAUUUAAUCAAGUUUAAUUCCCCGCAAGAUCGGACGGCUAAUAAUAAUCAGACGUCAUCAGACAUGUAAGUACUGCUAAGUACUCCGAGUACUAACCUAAUCACCGUAAAACUGCUCCCAAAUAGGAUGACCGCUUUAGAGAAAGCAAUAAGGGAAUUCAUGGACAAUCAAACUGAGAAUGUAAUUGUAUUUGUACCGAUGAUGGGAACGAGUUCACAGAUUCUCUGACUUAGCCGAGACUAUGGCAGAGGGAUGUCAAAAACAUAUAACUGUUCAUGCACCAUCCGACGGCAGCAAGCAAAGCCCAUGGACACACAGCAUUAUCGACCUAGAAGGGUGAUGCUGCCCAGUCCAACGCAUAGGCGAAGCAGGAAAAACGGUGCAAGGCAGCCGAAGUAUGAAUGAAGGAACCGAUCACCAAGCUGCCGAAGGAUGAGCUGCUCUGCUCUUGUGAGAGAUGUUAAAUUUUGUAGUGUUCAUUUUACCAUUCUGUAAUGUGCACUUAUGUUGCUGCUCAAUUCAGUUCCCUUCUCCCACUUGCAUUUCACAGUCAUGUCCAGUUCAGUGAGCAAAGUCUCUAAAAUUCAGCUCAUUCAAUUAUAGCAUUCAUUCACAACAACCACACUGAAUGAUCUCAACCCCUUCUGCCACUGAGUGAUCUCAACCCCUUUUGCCAUACUCAAUUCUGUUAUCAAUUUUACAACAUCAAGUGAUAUGCUCACAAAUUGACAAUGUCAAUGACCUGCUCUUAAUUUACAACAUCAUUGAUAUGCUCAAAAAAUGAUAAUGUCAAUGAUCUGCUCUCAAAGUACUCCCUCUGUCCCAUAAUAUAAGAGCGUUUUUGACACUACACUAGUGUCAAAAACACUCUUAUAUUAUGGGACAGAGGGAGUAGUUUAUAGUCUGAAACUCUCUUGUUGUUUUGGGUAAAUCAGUUUACAAUCUGAAACUCAACUGUUGUUUGCUUGUAAAUCAGUUAAUAAUGUGCUCUCAAUUUCCAGGCUAGCUUCGCCGGCGCCUGCUCGACGGAGUGGUGCAUCCAUGGCAGCCACGGCCGUCCUCCUCUUGCGAUGGUGCGGGGUCAGCGAUAUGGUGCUUGCUUAGUGCCUCCAGCAACAGCGGCGCGACCUCGCGGCGUGAUACAACCAUGACUUGUAGCCAAGGCAGCGGCAGUCGUCCUCCCGGGGCGAUCGCGAGCAAUGGCGACGGUGAGCGAUGGGUUGUUUAUGGGCUGCACAGCAUUGUUGUUAUUCUUAUUUGUUUUCACCUUGCAGCUGUCGAAUGACGCAUGUGAUUUGGAUUAGACGUCCGUCUAGCGUAAAUGUUUCAAUCAGAAGAUUUUGUUGAGUUUGGCCCCGAUGGUGAGUUGAGAACCAUUGGGUGAAGAUGUGUGUGACACGUCAUCAUUUACAAGGAGGGCUAAAUGUAUGGUAAGUAGGCAAUCAGGUGGCGGCACGUCUGCGAUCUCCAUUUUCUGGUACGUGUACAGACUUGUUAGUUAUGUUGUGUCCAGGAGAAGAAACUAAUCACAUACUAACAUGUUUAGGAAGAGCUGAUGUACGUACAUGUUUGAAAUGCUGGGCUAUGAAUUCAUGGAGAGGAUUAUGCACAAUAGUUUUUCUAGAUUUGUGAGAUGUGGACGUGUGAUUAUGGACAAGUUCAGCUCGCUGGUGUGGGCGUGAUUGGAUGCAACAGUGUGGUGAUGCUGCAGCUCAAUUACGUCUUUAGCUGAACUUUUGUUGCUUGUGAACGAUCUGAAUUUCUAAAAACAUACAACUCUUGAAUAAGAUUACUUGUUGCUGCAAGAGUUUAAUGCGUUCUGCAUAGGCAGGAGAUUUGUUUAGCUCCAUCCCCAUGUCUUAUGGACAUGUUUAGCUCCAUCCCCAUGUCUGCUGAUUUGUGAAGGAGAUUUGUUUCAAUUCUAAUUUUAAAAUACAUAGGCAGGAGCCGACGGACAUGACUGCAAGUAGUCAGUCCGUUAGUACAGAAUCUGGAUAGAGAAGGCUCAUAUCGUCAUGCACAUCCGAGCCGGUCAACACGGCGUGGACGGCGUCACAUUUAUUAUCUGACAGAAGUGGGCAGGGGAACAGAAAACUGGUGGAAUACAAAAAUAAUACUCGAUGCUAUACAGCCCAGGUCGGGAAUCUCGAAGUGAGUUCAUGAUGGAGAUAGCGAGAGUAUCUGAGCUCGUGCUCAGAACAUCACUUUCCUGAGGAAAGGGGGAACCAGGAUCGAUUCCUGGUCUCAAAGGUGACAGCGGGUGCUGCUACCAGUCCGAUCAAGUUCCGUUCGUGAUAAGUUGUAGGUGCGCGUCGUACUUGAGCCGAUUCAAGCCGGUUUUCUUUGAGUUUUUUUCCUUCUUCAUUUUUUUCAUUCUUUUUUGCACUCGUUUCUUCAUUUUUUUUCAUUUUUUUCUUUUGUUUAUUUUCUUUGUUCUUUUGGUUAUUAUUGUGCAUUUUUUGUAUACGUCAACAAUAUUUUUUUAAUACACGUCUAACAUUUUUCAAAUACAAAUCAACAAUUUUUGCAAUACAUGGCCUACAUUUUUCUAUACACAUUUUUUAAAUGCUUGAUUAUCAUUUUUCAAAUACAAUAUUAACAAUUUUAAUACAUGGUUAACAUUUUUUUUCCAUUUUUACAAAAAAAUAUAUUAAAUGCUUGAUUAACAUUUUCUUAAUAGAUGGUCAACCUUUUUUUCAUACACAUUUAACAUUUUUUCCAAACGCUUGAUUAACUUUUUCAGACCCUUGUUCGACAUUUCUUUCAAAUGCUGGAUUACAUUUCUAUAUACUUAAUCAAAUAUUUCUAUCAUUUUUAAUACNNNNNNNNNNNNNNNNNNNNNNNNNNNNNNNNNNNNNNNNNNNNNNNNNNNNNNNNNNNNNNNNNNNNNNNNNNNNNNNNNNNNNNNNNNNNNNNNNNNNUGGUAACACCAACCGGUACUAAAUGUUUGGGGGGGUUUUGGUUUUAUUUUUUAUUUUUCCUUUAAUUUUGUGUUUUCCAUUUAAUUAUUUUUCAUUUGCUGGUAUUUUACGAUACUACAUAUUGUACACGUUAUGCAUAUAUAUAUAUAUAUAUAUAUAUAUAUAUAUAUAUAGAAUUUCUCGUAGAACCGAUCAUAUAUAUAUAUAUACACAUAUCAUCGAAUGUCUCGCACCACCAUAUUCACACAUACACAUGCAUGUACGUAUAUAUAUAUAUACAAUUUGGUAUAUAUAAUUUCUCCUACAUGGAGGCAUUAGUGCGGUAGCGGAUAAUGGAAUUCUUCUCUAGGAUCUAUGACUUGGUCGAGCAAAAAUCCCGCUAUUUCCUCUGCAAUUGCUCGUACGCAAUCCAUUGGUAGGAGCUUCUACCGCACCUCAUUGAACUGUUAAGAAGGAGAUCAAUAUGCAUGUAUUAUUUGUGUGACUAGAUAUCGAUAAUGAUGUAAAAAUUGUGUAUAGUGUGUUCUACCAAACGUACCCAUAUCUGUCUAUCAGAUGUGCUCCUUUCGGACGUCAUCAUGCGAAUGUUCUCGCAAACGUAGUAUGCACAUAAAUCAUUCCCCGGCUCCUGCUUCAUGGCCUGUACGAGAAUAGAGUUCAAUCAGAUAAUAAUUAAUCAAGCCUCAUAAUUAAUGUUAUUGAAACUAUAGAAUUAAAGAGAUUGCAUGAUAGCUAGCUAGCUAGCUAUAGUACUACUUAAUUAAUUACCGUGGGUCGAUACCAAUACAGUUUAUCUUUGAACAGGCCUGGAACGUCUUCGAUGAACUUUUGCCAAGCCCUGCCGGCCCGCCGGCAAAGAAAAUGAAUAAAGGAGUUAUUAAUUAGUUGAUAUCAGGACAUAUAUAUAAUGAGAUUGAAAUUACCUCUUGACUAUCCCCUUCACGAUUGAGUACUCUUUAGGUUCUUUAAGCAGUGAGUCCAGUACUUCAACUUUUCCUUCUUUAACUUUAAUGUCUACCAAGAUCCAGUGGAACCUGCAUGCGCACUUUAAUUUCUACCAAGAUCCAAUGGUAUCUAGCUAGUAACAAAAACAGAAUAUGUAGUACAAGACAGUGUGGACUCACUGGAAGUUGUAAGGAAGUAGUAUAUCUGCAUUGGUAUUGAGGCGCUUCAAGAACUCUAGCACGUUAUUCUCUACUUCUUGUUUAUAAUGUUCAUAUGACCAUGUCUCUUCAUUAAUGGUAUUUGGGUCAAUGAACCCAAUGCCAUGGCGUCCAGCUUUUCUCAUUUCGGACAUCUUCAUCCUGCAUAAUACCACAGAAAAGAAUAUAGUGAGGAUAAUUACAGGUAAUGAUCAACGAGAGCACUACAGCUAGCUUGAGACUUAAAUUACAGAAAGAAAUCACUUACAGACAAUAGUAACUGACGAUAGAUUUGUCGAGUGCAUCAUAAUUGAAUAACUGAAACAGUUCUGUAUACUCAAUAGACAGAGCUAGCUUAUGGAAGUAAUCCUCUUCCUUGACUUUCACCAUGAGGGACUGUAGAUUGUGGGUCUUGCAAAUUUCCAUGUACNNNNNNNNNNAGAACCGAUCAUAUAUAUAUAUAUAUAUAUACACAUAUCAUCGAAUGUCUCGCACCACCAUAUUCACACAUACACAUGCAUGUACGUAUAUAUAUAUAUAUAUACAAUUUGGUAUAUAUAAUUUCUCCUACAUGGAGGCAUUAGUGCGGGAGCGGAUAAUGGAAUUCUUCUCUAGGAUCUAUGACUUGGUCGAGCAAAAAUCCCGCUAUUUCCUCUGCAAUUGCUCGUACGCGAUCCAUUGGUAGGAGCUUCUGCCGCACCUCAUUGAACUGUUAAGAAGGAGAUCAAUAUGCAUGUAUUAGUUGUGUGACUAGAUAUCGAUAAUGAUGUAAAAAUUGUGUAUAGUGUGUUCUGCCAAACGUACCCAUAUCUGUCUAUCAGAUGUGCUCCUUUCGGACGUCAUCAUGCGAAUGUUCUCGCAAACGUAGUAUGCACAUAAAUCAUUCCCCGGCUCCUGCUUCAUGGCCUGUACGAGAAUAGAGUUCAAUCAGAUAAUAAUUAAUCAAGCCUCAUAAUUAAUGUUAUUGAAACUAUAGAAUUAAAGAGAUUGCAUGAUAGCUAGCUAGCUAGCUAUAGUACUACUUAAUUAAUUACCGUGGGUCGAUACCAAUACAGUUUAUCUUUGAACAGGCCUGGAACGUCUUCGAUGAACUUUUGCCAAGCCCUGCCGGCCCGCCGGCAAAGAAAAUGAAUAAAGGAGUUAUUAAUUAGUUGAUAUCAGGACAUAUAUAUAAUGAGAUUGAAAUUACCUCUUGACUAUCCCCUUCACGAUUGAGUACUCUUUAGGUUCUUUAAGCAGUGAGUCCAGUACUUCAACUUUUCCUUCUUUAACUUUAAUGUCUACCAAGAUCCAGUGGAACCUGCAUGCGCACUUUAAUUUCUACCAAGAUCCAAUGGUAUCUAGCUAGUAACAAAAACAGAAUAUGUAGUACAAGACAGUGUGGACUCACUGGAAGUUGUAAGGAAGUAGUAUAUCUGCAUUGGUAUUGAGGCGCUUCAAGAACUCUAGCACGUUAUUCUCUACUUCUUGUUUAUAAUGUUCAUAUGACCAUGUCUCUUCAUUAAUGGUAUUUGGGUCAAUGAACCCAAUGCCAUGGCGUCCAGCUUUUCUCAUUUCGGACAUCUUCAUCCUGCAUAAUACCACAGAAAAGAAUAUAGUGAGGAUAAUUACAGGUAAUGAUCAACGAGAGCACUACAGCUAGCUUGAGACUUAAAUUACAGAAAGAAAUCACUUACAGACAAUAGUAACUGACGAUAGAUUUGUCGAGUGCAUCAUAAUUGAAUAACUGAAACAGUUCUGUAUACUCAAUAGACAGAGCUAGCUUAUGGAAGUAAUCCUCUUCCUUGACUUUCACCAUGAGGGACUGUAGAUUGUGGGUCUUGCAAAUUUCCAUGUACUAUUGAUGCAAUUCAUACAUUCUCGUUGGGAGGUUCUUGACCUCCUCGGGCUUGACCCAAGGUUCGCCGCGAACAUAUUUCCGUUUUAUUUCCUCCUCUCUAAGCGGAGACAUGGGCUCGAUCUCGAGGAAUUGUCCAACAGUCAUACCGAGCAUUUCAGCCUGCAUUAUAUGCUCCUCGGUUAUUACCAGAUAUCCCAGCUGGGGAACGUUAACGGUUUGCCCACAUAUAUAUAGGGCGCCGGUACUCUUAUGUGUUGUUGGCACAACAAGCGGGGGAUCGAUUGCGUCGCGUGUUCUCCCAGCUGGGAAAGGUUUUCCCGCAUUUUUUGCCAGCUGCUUGGCUCGAGCUCGACUCCUUCUGUACUCGUGCUCGAUGUGCCUUCCUGAUUUGGCGCUCAUAGUCUGAGUCAACAGGCUUGGGAGUUGGUGGUCUAGCCAUACGAAUAAAGUGGUCAAUCGUUUCCUCAGGCACUUUCUGUUGGAAAUAUGCCCUAGAGGCAAUAAUAAAAGGUUAUUAUUAUAUUUCUUUGUUCAUGAUAAUCGUCUAUUAUUCAUGCUAUAAUUGUAUUGUCCGAAAACCGUAAUACAUGUGUGAAUAUAUAGACCACAACGUGUCCCUAGUAAGCCUCUAGUUGACUAGCUCGUUGAUCAACAGAUAGUCAUGGUUUCCUGACUAUGGACAUUGGAUGUCAUUGAUAACGGGAUCACAUCAUUGGGAGAAUGAUGUGAUGGACAGGACCCAAUCCUAAGCAUAGCAUAAAAGAUCGUGUAGUUUCGUUUGCUAGAGCUUUUCCAAUGUCAAGUAUCUUUUCCUUAGACCAUGAGAUCGUGCAACUCCCGGAUACCAUAGGAGUGCUUUGGGUGUGCCAAACGUCACAACGUAACUGGGUGACUAUAAAGGUGCACUACGGGUAUCUCCGAAAGUGUUUGUUGGGUUGGCACGGAUCGAGACUGGGAUUUGUCACUCCGUGUGACGGAGAGGUAUCUCUGGGCCCACUCGGUAAUGCAUCAUCAUAAUGAGCUCAAUGUGACUAAGGCGUUACUCACGGGAUCAUGCAUUGCGGUACGAGUAGAGAGACUUGCCGGUAACGAGAUUGAACAAGGUAUUGGGAUACCGACGAUCGAAUCUCGGGCAAGUAACAUACCGAUUGACAAAGGGAAUUGCAUACGGAUUGAUUGAAUCCUCGACACCGUGGUUCAUCCGAUGAGAUCAUCGUGGAACAUCUGGGAUCCAACAUGGGUAUCCAGAGCCCGCUGUUGGUUAUUGACCGGAGAGGCGUCUCGGUCAUGUCUGCAUGUCUCCCGAACCCGUAGGGUCUACACACUUAAGGUCCGGUGACGCUAGGGUUGUAGAGAUAUAUGUAUGCGGAAACCCGAAAGUUGUUCGGAGUCCCGGAUGAGAUCCCGGACAUCACGAGAGGUUCCGGAAUGGUCCGGAGGUGAAGAAUUAUAUAUAGGAAGUCAAGUUUCGGCCACCGGGAAAGUUUCGGGGGUUACCGGUAUUGUACCGGGACCACCGGAAGGGUCCCGGGGGUCCACCGGGUGGGGCCACCUAUCCCGGAGGGCCCCGUGGGCUGAAAGUGGAAGGGAACCAGCCCUUAGUGGGCUGGGGCGCCCCCCUUGNNNNNNNNNNUGGUGGUCUAGCCAUACGAAUAAAGUGGUCAAUCGUUUCCUCAGGCACUUUCUGUUGGAAAUAUGCCCUAGAGGCAAUAAUAAAAGGUUAUUAUUAUAUUUCUUUGUUCAUGAUAAUCGUCUAUUAUUCAUGCUAUAAUUGUAUUGUCCGAAAACCGUAAUACAUGUGUGAAUAUAUAGACCACAACGUGUCCCUAGUAAGCCUCUAGUUGACUAGCUCGUUGAUCAACAGAUAGUCAUGGUUUCCUGACUAUGGACAUUGGAUGUCAUUGAUAACGGGAUCACAUCAUUGGGAGAAUGAUGUGAUGGACAGGACCCAAUCCUAAGCAUAGCAUAAAAGAUCGUGUAGUUUCGUUUGCUAGAGCUUUUCCAAUGUCAAGUAUCUUUUCCUUAGACCAUGAGAUCGUGCAACUCCCGGAUACCAUAGGAGUGCUUUGGGUGUGCCAAACGUCACAACGUAACUGGGUGACUAUAAAGGUGCACUACGGGUAUCUCCGAAAGUGUCUGUUGGGUUGGCACGGAUCGAGACUGGGAUUUGUCACUCCGUGUGACGGAGAGGUAUCUCUGGGCCCACUCGGUAAUGCAUCAUCAUAAUGAGCUCAAUGUGACUAAGGCGUUACUCACGGGAUCAUGCAUUGCGGUACGAGUAAAGAGACUUGCCGGUAACGAGAUUGAACAAGGUAUUGGGAUACCGACGAUCGAAUCUCGGGCAAGUAACAUACCGAUUGACAAAGGGAAUUGCAUACGGAUUGAUUGAAUCCUCGACACCGUGGUUCAUCCGAUGAGAUCAUCGUGGAACAUCUGGGAUCCAACAUGGGUAUCCAGAUCCCGCUGUUGGUUAUUGACCGGAGAGGCGUCUCGGUCAUGUCUGCAUGUCUCCCGAACCCGUAGGGUCUACACACUUAAGGUCCGGUGACGCUAGGGUUGUAGAGAUAUAUGUAUGCGGAAACCCGAAAGUUGUUCGGAGUCCCGGAUGAGAUCCCGGACAUCACGAGAGGUUCCGGAAUGGUCCGGAGGUGAAGAAUUAUAUAUAGGAAGUCAAGUUUCGGCCACCAGGAAAGUUUCGGGGGUUACCGGUAUUGUACCGGGACCACCGGAAGGGUCCCGGGGGUCCAUCGGGUGGGGCCACCUAUCCCGGAGGGCCCCGUGGGCUGAAAGUGGAAGGGAACCAGCCCUUAGUGGGCUGGGGCGCCCCCCUUUGGGCCUCCCCCAUGCGCCUAGGGUUGGGAACCCUAGGGGGGAGCUUCCCCCUUGCCUUGGGGGGCAAGGCAACCCCUUCCCCCCUUGGCCGCCGCCGCCCCCCCCUUGGAGAUCCCAUCUCCCAAGGCUGGCACACCCCCCAAGGGCCUAUAUAAAGGGGGGAGGGAGGGCAGAACCUACAGCCUUGGGCGCCUCCCUCCUCCCCUGCAACACCUCUCUCUCUCUCGCAGAAGCUCGGCGAAGCCCUGCCGGAGACCCGCUACAUCCACCACCACGCCGUCGUGCUGCUGGAUCUCCAUCAACCUCUCCUUUCCCCUUGCUGGAUCAAGAAGGAGGAGACUUCGCUGCACCGUACGUGUGUUGAACGCGGAGGUGCCGUCCGUUCGGCACUCGGUCAUCGGUGAUUUGGAUCACGGCGAGUACGACUCCGUCAUGCACGUUCAUUGGAACGCUUCCGCUCGCGAUCUACAAGGGUAUGUAGAUGCACUCCCUUCCCCUCAUUGCUAGUAGACUCCAUAGAUGCAUCUUGGUGAGCGUAGGAAAAUUUUAAAUUAUGCUACGAUUCCCAAGACUUUCUCCCUUGGCGGCGGUGCCGGUUUCGGUCCAAAAUGGGCGUCCACUUGGGCCUUCACUAUGGCUCUGUUUUGCUCCUCGGUCAUGUCGUAAGGCCUCUAAGGAAGAGAAGCAAGGCUUGGACCAUAUUUAUUUUGCUUGCCUCUGCCUGUACCUCCUGUACUACCUCAACUCAUAGCGCUACGCACCAUAGCUGCGGCGGCUCUCAUCCCCGAUUGCUGAGGCGGCGGAGACGGCUGACGUGGCUGAGUUGGAGCAGGAGGAGUGGCCUGACGCUGUACCGGACUUGAAGCAGGAGGAGUGGCCUCAUGCAGUGUCGGACUUGAAGCAGGAGGAGUGGCCUCACGCUGUGCCGGACUUGAAGCAGGAGGAGUGGCCUGCUGCUGUGCCAGACAUGGAGGAGGAGGAGUGGCCUCACAUCGAGGAGGAGUCGGAUGACGACGCGGUGUCGGUGGCCUUCGAAAGAUGAUGCAAUCCUUUCUCCAUAGGAUGAUACGAUGUAUGGCCUCUCCCAGUGUGUGCUCCUCGUGCUGUCCAGGAAUGUCAAGCUCUAGCCCCGAAUAUUGGUCCACCACCUCAUCAACCAUGACACAAGCAUAGCCAGCUGUAAUCGGGUCGCAAUGGAAGGUUGCUUCGGGGGGAUUUGUAUAAGCAACGACGUCUGCCACCUUCAUGGAUAUGUUCUUCAUUUUGAAGUGUAGCUCACAGUUUGUGUUCUCCAUGAUGUCAUCCACAGGGUAUCUAUCCAGCAGUGCGUCCCCCGGGGCGGAACCAACGCUGCUUCUCGGCAUAGAUGGGACGAUGCUAUCCGAUGCUGGAUCAUCCGCUAGCUGCUGCCAUUGUUGAGACCCCCUUUCCUAGCUAAGUGAGUCGAUCUGCUGCUGCUGCUGGAAUUUGAGUGCCAAGUCCGCGUGCGCUGAUUCUAGGCCUUGAAGGCGUUCAUAGUCCUGCUUCCUCUGCUCCUCCUCCAUCUUUCUCUUCUUCUCCUCCUCCAUCUUCCGUCUUGCAUGGGUCCUGUAGUCGAUGUUCCAUUCCGAAAAGCCCUCAUACCAGGGAAUAACGCCCUUGCCUCGUGUUCUUCCCGGGUGUUCAGGAUUUCCCAGGGCGCGCGUAAGCUCCUCGUUCUCUGUGUUGGGCGUGAACACCCCCAUUCGAGCAUCUUCUAUUGCUUGAAGUAACUUCUCUUCGGCUCCUUUUAGACUUGCCUUCUUGGAAAACAGGCCUGUCUUCGGGUCCAACGCCCCCCAUGCGCAUAGAACCAAGUUCUGCACCUGGGGGGCCAGCUCCUAGUAACUGGAGUGACCCCUACAUCCAGCAUCUCUUCCUCAGACUUAUCCCACUUAGGUGUUGCCACUGCGUAGCCACCUGGCCCCAGCCUAUGGAACUGCGUCUUUUUUGCCGCAUUGGCCUUGUUUUUUCUCGACCGUUCCUAAGCUAAUUCGGAUUCCUUGAAUUUCACAAAAGCAUGCCAGUGUUCUCUUUGCUUCUCCAGUGUUCCCUUGAAUUCUGGAGUCUUCUUUUCUCCUUCGAUGUAGUCGGCCCAUACCAUUUUCUUGUGGGUGUUGAAUGCAAUAGCCAUCUUCCUAAGAGCAGCGUCCUUGACUUUCUGCACAUCUGCAUCAGUGUAAUGAUCUGGUAGGGUGAAAUGUUCCAUGAGAGAUUUCCAAAGCGUUUGUUUUGCUCUGUCGUCGACCCAAGUAACAUUUGGACGUUUAUUUUUUUGGCUCUUUCCAUUCUUGAAUGGAGAUCGGGAGUUGGUCCUUGACAAGAACUCCGCACUGACGAACGAACUUGUUCACAAUGUUCUUAGGCAUGAGGGGUUCGCCAUUAGCUUUGAUGGAAUCGAUGUUGUACUUUACACCCUCCUUCAACUUUUUGCCCGGGCCUCGCUUUGUCCUGCGGUCUGUAGAAGCAGAUUUGCUCGAUCCGGAGGGCUGAAAGAAGAAAGAUCGAUUCGUUAAUAUAUAUUCAAAUAAAAAACAUGUGAUGAUCACCAGAUGCCUGCUUAUAUAAAUAUACCUCGCCGGUCUUUGUUAUUUCGAGAUCAACAUUGUCUGUGUCAUCAUAAUCAUAAUCAUAGUUCAUGACUUCAUCCAUUCGGUCGUCGAGAUCGAAUAUCUUAUCAUCACCCUCCCCGGUAUGUUUCAGAUAUUGGGAGCCGUCAUCUGCUUCAUUCAGAUCAUCUGGCCUGCGAGGGCUGCGUAUGAUCACGAACAGGGCAUCUUCUCCCUCUCUGCCGGUAUUGUCUGCCAUAGCUUUUAUUUAACUAAUCCAGAAGAAAUAUAAAACAAUUUAGUAUUCAAAUUACAAUGCAUGGAUGCAAUCAAUAAGGAAAAACUGAAUCAUAGUACAUAAUAUGCAUCGUCUCGAAUAAUAUAUAAUCUCGAAUACAUCAUCUCGAAUAAUAUAUAAUCUCGAAUACAUCGACUCUAAUAAUAUAUAUAAUCUCGAACAUCGUCUCGAAUAUAAUAUAUCGAAUACAUCACUAGCUAGGUAGCUAAUAAAGAUCGAAUACUACAGAAGAAUCUAGGCCACUCGCGGUUCCUAAGGCGCGGGCGGUGCACACCCAAAGAGAAGGAACCAUCACAGGAUCAUAUCUCCGAUCAUCUGCCCAAACAAAUUGGUAAAUGACUGAAAAAGAGCAAAUGAUGUCAGAAAGGGUUGAAAAUUGACGACCUCGCUUUGAAUGCUGCAUACUGAACGCAAAAAAAGUCUGGAGUUCAAAUAAGUUUAAAAAAUGAAGUAAUCGUGUAACAGACGAGUUCUCGUCCGAAACCCUGAUACUCUGGAAGAGAAUGUCCAAUUUGUACACGAAGUGCGUCCAGUUUUUACCGUAACCCUCUCUACUCUUUUGCACAUGCUAUGUGGGUGAAAUUAUGAUACCAUGCCAAGCUUCAACAUUUUUAGAGUUCAUUUUGUAGUGAUUUUCAAUUUCACGGUCAUUUAGCACUCUAAACAAAUCGGUAAAUGACUGAAAAAGAGCAAAUGAUGUCAGAAAGGGUUGAAAAUUGAUGAUGUCGCUUUGAAUGCUGCAUACUGAGCGCAAAAAAAGUCUAGAGUUCAAAUAAGUUUAAANNNNNNNNNNGGGGGGAGGGAGGGCAGAACCUACAGCCUUGGGCGCCUCCCUCCUCCCCUGCAACACCUCUCUCUCUCUCGCAGAAGCUCGGCGAAGCCCUGCCGGAGACCCGCUACAUCCACCACCACGCCGUCGUGCUGCUGGAUCUCCAUCAACCUCUCCUUUCCCCUUGCUGGAUCAAGAAGGAGGAGACUUCGCUGCACCGUACGUGUGUUGAACGCGGAGGUGCCGUCCGUUCGGCACUCGGUCAUCGGUGAUUUGGAUCACGGCGAGUACGACUCCGUCAUGCACGUUCAUUGGAACGCUUCCGCUCGCGAUCUACAAGGGUAUGUAGAUGCACUCCCUUCCCCUCAUUGCUAGUAGACUCCAUAGAUGCAUCUUGGUGAGCGUAGGAAAAUUUUAAAUUAUGCUACGAUUCCCAAGACUUUCUCCCUUGGCGGCGGUGCCGGUUUCGGUCCAAAAUGGGCGUCCACUUGGGCCUUCACUAUGGCUCUGUUUUGCUCCUCGGUCAUGUCGUAAGGCCUCUAAGGAAGAGAAGCAAGGCUUGGACCAUAUUUAUUUUGCUUGCCUCUGCCUGUACCUCCUGUACUACCUCAACUCAUAGCGCUACGCACCAUAGCUGCGGCGGCUCUCAUCCCCGAUUGCUGAGGCGGCGGAGACGGCUGACGUGGCUGAGUUGGAGCAGGAGGAGUGGCCUGACGCUGUACCGGACUUGAAGCAGGAGGAGUGGCCUCAUGCAGUGUCGGACUUGAAGCAGGAGGAGUGGCCUCACGCUGUGCCGGACUUGAAGCAGGAGGAGUGGCCUGCUGCUGUGCCAGACAUGGAGGAGGAGGAGUGGCCUCACAUCGAGGAGGAGUCGGAUGACGACGCGGUGUCGGUGGCCUUCGAAAGAUGAUGCAAUCCUUUCUCCAUAGGAUGAUACGAUGUAUGGCCUCUCCCAGUGUGUGCUCCUCGUGCUGUCCAGGAAUGUCAAGCUCUAGCCCCGAAUAUUGGUCCACCACCUCAUCAACCAUGACACAAGCAUAGCCAGCUGUAAUCGGGUUGCAAUGGAAGGUUGCUUCGGGGGGAUUUGUAUAAGCAACGACGUCUGCCACCUUCAUGGAUAUGUUCUUCAUUUUGAAGUGUAGCUCACAGUUUGUGUUCUCCAUGAUGUCAUCCACAGGGUAUCUAUCCAGCAGUGCGUCCCCCGGGGCGGAACCAACGCUGCUUCUCGGCAUAGAUGGGACGAUGCUAUCCGAUGCUGGAUCAUCCGCUAGCUGCUGCCAUUGUUGAGACCCCCUUUCCUGGCUAAGUGAGUCGAUCUGCUGCUGCUGCUGGAAUUUGAGUGCCAAGUCCGCGUGCGCUGAUUCUAGGCCUUGAAGGCGUUCAUAGUCCUGCUUCCUCUGCUCCUCCUCCAUCUUUCUCUUCUUCUCCUCCUCCAUCUUCCUUCUUGCAUGGGUCCUGUAGUCGAUGUUCCAUUCCGAAAAGCCCUCAUACCAGGGAAUAACGCCCUUGCCUCGUGUUCUUCCCGGGUGUUCAGGAUUUCCCAGGGCGCGCGUAAGCUCCUCGUUCUCUGUGUUGGGCGUGAACACCCCCAUUCGAGCAUCUUCUAUUGCUUGAAGUAACUUCUCUUCGGCUCCUUUUAGACUUGCCUUCUUGGAAAACAGGCCUGUCUUCGGGUCCAACGCCCCCCAUGCGCAUAGAACCAAGUUCUGCACCUGGGGGGCCAGCUCCUAGUAACUGGAGUGACCCCUACAUCCAGCAUCUCUUCCUCAGACUUAUCCCACUUAGGUGUUGCCACUGCGUAGCCACCUGGCCCCAGCCUAUGGAACUGCGUCUUUUUUGCCGCAUUGGCCUUGUUUUUUCUCGACCGUUCAUAAGCUAAUUCGGAUUCCUUGAAUUUCACAAAAGCAUGCCAGUGUUCUCUUUGCUUCUCCAGUGUUCCCUUGAAUUCUGGAGUCUUCUUUUCUCCUUCGAUGUAGUCGGCCCAUACCAUUUUCUUGUGGGUGUUGAAUGCAAUAGCCAUCUUCCUAAGAGCAGCGUCCUUGACUUUCUGCACAUCUGCAUCAGUGAAAUGAUCUGGUAGGGUGAAAUGUUCCAUGAGAGAUUUCCAAAGCGUUUGUUUUGCUCUGUCGUCGACCCAAGUAACAUUUGGACGUUUAUUUUUUUAGCUCUUUCCAUUCUUGAAUGGAGAUCGGGAGUUGGUCCUUGACAAGAACUCCGCACUGACGAACGAACUUGUUCACAAUGUUCUUAGGCAUGAGGGGUUCGCCAUUAGCUUUGAUGGAAUCGAUGUUGUAAUUUACACCCUCCUUCAACUUUUUGCCCGGCCCUCGCUUUGUCCUGCGGUCUGUAGAAGCAGAUUUGCUCGAUCCGGAGGGCUGAAAGAAGAAAGAUCGAUUCGUUAAUAUAUAUUCAAAUAAAAAACAUGUGAUGAUCACCAGAUGCCUGCUUAUAUAAAUAUACCUCGCCGGUCUUUGUUAUUUCGAGAUCAACAUUGUCUGUGUCAUCAUAAUCAUAAUCAUAGUUCAUGACUUCAUCCAUUCGGUCGUCGAGAUCGAAUAUCUUAUCAUCACCCUCCCCGGUAUGUUUCAGAUAUUGGGAGCCGUCAUCUGCUUCAUUCAGAUCAUUUGGCCUGCGAGGGCUGCGUAUGAUCACGAACAGGGCAUCUUCUCCCUCUCUGCCGGUAUUGUCUGCCAUAGCUUUUAUUUAACUAAUCCAGAAGAAAUAUAAAACAAUUUAGUAUUCAAAUUACAAUGCAUGGAUGCAAUCAAUAAGGAAAAACUGAAUCAUAGUACAUAAUAUGCAUCGUCUCGAAUAAUAUAUAAUCUCGAAUACAUCAUCUCGAAUAAUAUAUAAUCUCGAAUACAUCGACUCUAAUAAUAUAUAUAAUCUCGAACAUUGUCUCGAAUAUUAUAUAUCGAAUACAUCACUAGCUAGGUAGCUAAUAAAGAUCGAAUACUACAGAAGAAUCUAGGCCACUCGCGGUUCCUAAGGCGCGGGCGGUGCACACCCAAAGAGAAGGAACCAUCAUAGGAUCAUAUCUCCGAUCAUCUGCCCAAACAAAUUGGUAAAUGACUGAAAAAGAGCAAAUGAUGUCAGAAAGGGUUUAAAAUUGACGACCUCGCUUUGAAUGCUGCAUACUGAACGCAAAAAAAGUCUGGAGUUCAAAUAAGUUUAAAAAAUGAAGUAAUCGUGUAACAGACGAGUUCUCGUCCGAAACCCUGAUACUCUGGAAGAGAAUGUCCAAUUUGUACACGAAGUGCGUCCAGUUUUUACCGUAACCCUCUCUACUCUUUUGCACAUGCUAUGUGGGUGAAAUUAUGAUACCAUGCCAAGCUUCAACAUUUUUAGAGUUCAUUUUGUAGUGAUUUUCAAUUUCACGGUCAUUUAGCACUCUAAACAAAUCGGUAAAUGACUGAAAAAGAGCAAAUGAUGUCAGAAAGGGUUGAAAAUUGAUGAUGUCGCUUUGAAUGCUGCAUACUGAGCGCAAAAAAAGUCUAGAGUUCAAAUAAGUUUAAANNNNNNNNNNACUCUUUUGCACAUGCUAUGUGGGUGAAAUGAUGAUACCAUGCCAAGUUUCAACAUUUUCAGAGUUCAUUUUGUAGUGAUUUUCAACUUCACGGUCAUUUAGCUCUCUAAACAAAUCGGUAAAUGAAUAAAAACAACAAAAUGAUGUCAGAACGUGUUGAAAAUUGAUGACUUCGCUUUGAAUGGUGCAUACGGAACGCAAAAAAAGUCUUGAGUUCAAAUAAGUUUAAAAAAAUGAAGCACCCGUGUAACAGAUGCUAAGUCAGCAGAGAGUGAGGGGCAGCCGGCGGGGGAGGACCGGCGCGGGGGGAUUGAGGGGGAGACCGAGUGAGUGGAGAGAGUGAGGGCUUAAACAUGUAAAAAUAUACAUCAAAAAUACAUUGAUUAUCAAUGAUCUUUUUGUGUACAAUCUGAAUUGUCAAUAUGAGUCCUCAACGGUUUAGAAACCGGUGAAGACUCAUAUUGCGACCACAAAUUCUACACAUGGAGUUCAAUGAAGACCAAGUGCUUGUCAUAGUUUGAGUAGUAACAUAUUUAAGGUGGUAAAAAUCUUGCUAGGGGAGCGAGGUGGGACUAAAAACAGCCUGCCACAACCUCUUUACUACCUGUUCUUGCCACNNNNNNNNNNAACUGGUACUAAAGGGGCUGGCCCGGCCCCAGCCUCUUUAGUACCGGUUCGUGGCAUGAACCGGUACUAAAGGUUCGCCCUGAACCGGUACUAAAGAUCUCCUCCCGCCUAGCCGUUUGAACCGGCACUAAUGGACACAUUAGUGCCGGCUCAAAUGCAAACCGGGACUAAUGUGUCUCACAUUUGACCCUUUUUCUACUAGUGACCUAUUCCCUUCAUGAUAACAUGUUUUCAAAUUCAAGUACUGUCAUUCUACUCUAUCGCAAUGCCAUCUGCUUAAUUUGGACAUCAUGCUUCUGAAUAUCUUAUGCAUUGUUAUUCAUCAUUAUGUACUUCAUCUGUCUACCAUACCAUGUUUUUUUACAUUGAAGUGAUGUUCUAGUGCUCUGUUGCAAUGCCAUCUUAGUUUCCCAAUCAUACACGUGUAUCUUGCCUUAGUUUUUUCUGUACGUAUUCCGCUAGCAUACAGUUUUACAUUCAACUAGUGUUUUUUACUGUGUUGUCCUGUCGUAUCCGUAGCUCUUACACCAUACUCCCUCCGUCCGGAUUACAUGUUGCCGAAAUGGAUAAAAAGGAUGUAUCUAGAACUGAAAUACGCCUAGACCCAUCCAUUUUUUUCCGGAUGGAGGGAAUACAUGUCAAUAUGUCAUGCAUUUCUAUUCUUCAGUACCUAUUCCAUCUCUCUGUUGUAGAUUGUUUUAUAAUUGAAGCACCAUUCUUCUAUACGAGGCAUGCAAGGGGAAGACGACUAUGUUAGAAUCUGAAGGGUUACAAACCAGGUCUUUGCAAAAGAUCCAAACGCCAGGAGAUAAUAAGCCAACUCCAGUUUUUAUAGAUACUGCUCCAGCAUAGAGAAACCCAACUCCAACUGAUAAUAAGCAGAUUCCAGUGGCCAAAGAACUAGUCCGCUCCAGUCCAGCAAAAAUAUGUCAACACCAUUCUAAGAAGCGUGUGCGUAUCCUUGCAUCAUGAAAUUUUAUAGCAUGCUGAUCAUAUUUUUUACAUGUUUCUUACCCAUCUCUCUUUUAGAAAAUAAGCUUAACAGAUAGAAGAAUUUCUGCACUGGAAUCGUCUGUGAGGAAAGAUUCUUGCAGGAAUUCUCUGUGCUCCAAUGCAGAUGUAAGUACCUGUUGUAUAUCACUAUAUUUUUACAUCAGCAUGUAUUUUGUUAAUCGGCGUGAAUCCAACCUUUAUCUGAUCUAAAUUUAGUUGUAGCAAAAUGUAUGAUUAAAGGCCACAAUAUUGAUUUUUGUAAGGAAAACUACCUGGUAGUUUUGCAUCCUCAGCUGCAUGAGUGUACUAUCUCAUAUCAGUGGGUUUGAUUACUUUGGUUCUGAAGUGGGUUUUUAGUGUUUUUUACUGUGUUGUCCUGUCGUAUCCCUACCUCUUACAUCAUACUCCCUCCGUCCGGAUUACAUGUCGCGAAAUGGAUAAAACUGGAUGUAUCUAGAACUGAAAUAUGCCUAGACCCAUCCAUUUAUUUCUGGAUGGGGGGAAUUGUCGGGUGGUUGGUGCGACAUAUGCCAACGGGUGGCUUAUCAUUAUGGGUGCCAAUAAGACAUCGCCGGUGCCUGGAAACGGGAUGAGGCGAAGACAUGCACGCCGGCGGAUCUUACCCAGGUUCGGGGCUCUCCGAGGAGAUAACACCCCGAGUCCUGCUCUACGGGGUCUCCGCAUGAUCACUAGAUCAGGAAAGGUAGCUGCAAUCGCUCCUAGAGCUGUUGGGUUCAAGGGAGAAGAAGAACAAGGCUAGCUCUCACUUCUCUCUAUCUAUGGUGUGUGUGCUAUGCUCAGAAGCCAACCCUUUGCAUGGGUGCCCCGGGGGGUUUAUAUAGGCCUACCCCCCGGGGGUACAAUUGUAAUCCGGCUGGGCACUGGUCCCAGCCGUCAGUGUCUAUGCUCGCCGGCUUCUCCGCCGGCUGUUGGGGCCCGCCGACUGGUGGGCCCCGCCGGCUGCCGGCCUCUUGGCCGACAGGCCGGCCCCACCGCCUAGGGUCUUGUCGGCGGCUGCUUACUGUUGCCUCGCCCCUGAUGACGAGGGCUCCGUCGAGGUAAGCGUGGCUACAGUGGGCCGCCUCGGGGGCUCUCACUGUUGCCUUACCUCGUCUUGUCUCCUUAAUGGGGCGCAUGCUUCAAGGAAGGGGGUAGCCGGCUUCUGGGGGGCGGCUAUGCCCUUGGCCGACUGGGGGAGGCCGGGCCGCCUCUGCGCUUCUCUCUGGCCGAGGGGACCCGCCGCCCGUGAGCCGUACGGGAGUCUGUCGUGGAUGACGUUGAGGCUAGCAUGGCUACAGUGCCGAGCCGAACGGGAGACGGCCGUCCCGUACGGCCUCCUGUGGCCAUGCCUGCCUCGGGCUUCGGGGGUAGUGGGCCGCACUAUGGCCACACCCCGUCUUGUCACCGUUAUGUGGGUGCAGCUUUGGUGGUUGUGGUCUCGGCCGGCUUCUUGGAGUCGGCGCUCUUCGAGGCCGGCUUCCUGGAGUCGGCCACCCCGCGGAUAUCCUGGGGGGGGGGGAGGUCGCUGAGGCUGGGCCGCCUUCCGUGAGUCGGCUUCAGAGGUAGCCGGCCAGGGGAGGUGGUCCAAUGCUUGGAGUGCUUGAAGGCCCAAAGGCCUGAUAAUUUUUUAGAAGAACCAGGGGCAGUCGGUUAGGCUACCCGUGGCCAUUUACUCCGACAGUAGUCCCCGAAGCUGGUUGGGCUUCGAGGUUGAGUAGGAGUCGAGAAGCUCGGUCAGCUUCCUAUCUUGUCAAUUCGGCAGCUAGGAGCCGGCUUUGGUUAGGCGCGCCGCCUUGGUCGAAAACUCCGGAGUCGGAGGGCGGGAGCUCGCCAGUGCGUGCACCGGGCCGCGGGCCGCCACUUGCCGUCUGCGAACCACGUGGCCCCUCUUGGCCGGAAAGCCUGCCAGCCCACGCGCGCGACGGGACGUCGCCGCAGGGCGGGGGCCCGCCACGUCCACGCCCGGGCCCAGGCGCGGAUUCUCUGCAUCCCGAAACCGCCCGCACGUCUCCUUGCGGCAGUUUCGGCUCGCCUUUAGGGCGUAAUAAUCGCGAGGCGUGGGGGGAGUGGGUGCAGUUAAUCCCACGUCUCCCCCCACGUCCGGCCUCCCCGGCCUUACCUCGCGAGGCUAUAAGUAGGGGGAGAGGGAGAGCGGCAGGCUCUCGCACGCUCCUCCUUCUUCCACCGUCUUCUUUCUCUCGCCGUUUCUUGCAACAGCGCCUCGCCGCCGCGCUCCUCCACCGCACGUUCCUCCGCCGCCGCGCUCGCUUUCGCCAUGCCUCCCGCCACGGAGCAGUAUGGCGGGGAUUGGGAUGGCUCCAACGUCCACGAAGAUCACAUCGAGUUCCUCCGUAAUACGCGGCGGCUGCCCGGUGCGGACAAGGUGGAGGUCCGUCUUGCGCCGGCGAGGGAAACUACGCCGGAGCCGCGGGAGGGCGAGCGGGUGGUCUUCCGCUCGCAUUUCUUGCACGGCAUCGGCCUGCCAGUGAGCGCCUUCUUCCGCUCCUGGCUCGAUUUCUACCAGCUCCAGCCGCACCACCUCACCCCAAACGCGGUGGUGCUGCUGUCAGCCUUCGUCACCCUGUGCGAAGGCUACCUCAGCUUCCUCCCUACCCUCGAGCUCUGGGGGGAGUUCUUCCAGUCCAAGCUGGGCACGCGCAUGCAGGGCGUGCCGGCUCAGACUGGCGCCUUCAUCGCGUCGCGGAGGUCGGUCGCCGACAACCCCUUCCCCGUCAUCACGUUGAUCCACUCGGUGAAGAAGUGGCAAAAGUCGUACUUCUACGUGCGGAACAUCGCCCCACGGGGCGACUACAUCAACCUGCCGGCUUACGUAGCCGGCCCACCGGCGGGCAGGCGGCCCCAGUGGUCCUUCCGGGCCGUGACUCUGACGCCGGCCGGGUCCGCAGCCGUCGCCCGAGUGCGAGUGCUGACCCAGUCGGAGGGCUUGACGGGGCCCGACCUGCUGGCCGCCUUCGUCACGCGCCGAGUACUUCCGCUCUAGAGCCGUCCUCAUCUGAUCUGUCAGAUGAGCGGCCAGCUCGAUCCGAGCCGGAUGUGCACCAAGGACAUGCCGCGCGAGGAGGUCGCCUAUAUGGUGAACUACCUCGCGAACUGCAAACUCUCCGAAGAGUGGCAGUUCGGCAAGGAGCCAUACAGCCGAGCCAAUCCACCGCCCACGGUAUGUUCUCCUUGUCUCUUCUUUUUCUCUUAACUUUGUUGCCGAGUUCCUCUUGGCCGACUCUAACUUAGUCGGCUUGUUUUUCGACAGAGCCCUCUUCUUCGGCCGGCCGGCGGGUCAGACGCGGAGCGUCGAUUCGUCCCCGACCGGACGGAACACGAUCUGGAAGACCCCGAAUUGGGGGCGGCCGCUCUGGACAACAACAUCGAGCCGGGUGGAGGCCAAGCCGGCGGUGAAGCAGGCGGCUCCGGACUCGGAGUCACCUUCGACGACUGGCCGGACGAUGAUGAGGCCGAAAUGGCCCCGCGCCGCCGGCCGGCAUCCGGACGCGGCGCGGGUUCCUCCGCUGCACCGCCUGCUCGGGGCGGAGGGCAGAAGCGUCGCGCCGCCCAGGGUCUGUUCGGUAGUCGGACGAAGAAGCCCAGGGGCGGGGCGGCAGCAACCAGGCGAGAGGAGGCGGCCGCGAAGGCGGCUCGCUUCCGCAAGACGGAGAAGCACCCGCAGACCGUGUCGGCGUAAGUUUGAAUUCUUUUGUAUACUCUUUUUCUUUCUUUUCUCUGGUGGUUCCUAAACCCUUGUCUUUUUCUCCAAACGACCAGAGCUCCGUUGUCGCUUGAGCGGGCGGCUGCCGCUUCCGUCGUCGAGUCGCCAAGGGGGUCUGGGAGCACCACUCGCCGCGUGGACCCCCGUGCCGACCUUCAAGAAGCGACAGAACGGAACGCGCGGGAGGCGCGGGAGGAACGGGAGGCGCGAGAGGCAGAGGCACGGAGGGCGGCCGCCGCCCAGGCGGCGCGGGAGGAGGAGGCGGCGAAGGCGCUCGCCGACGCCGCAGCCAGGGCCCAAGCGGAGGCUGCAGCUGCAGCGGCGGCGGGGGAGGUCUUGAUGGUCACCCUGCUGUGCGUCGUAGCGCCUGGGAACAUGGAAGAAGGGGCCAGCGGCGACCAGCCAGGACUUGAGAGGGACGACGACGUCAUCGUCCUGGAGAGGGCGCCGGUGCCGACCCCGCCAACUGGGGCGGCUCAAGGCGGCAGGCCUGAUCCGCCGCUUGCGCAGUCGGCGGGGGGCGAGCCGGUCGCGAGGACUGAGAUGGCGGUCCGGAUGCCCCCGAGUCAUCGUGCGGGGAAGGCUGCGUCGGAGCCACAGAAGGCCGCGUCGGAGCCGCAGCCGGCCGUGGGCUCCAGCUCGUCGGCCCAAGAUGCGGAGGCGGCCAGCGCUACCUCGGGGUGGACGCCAGGCGGAGGGACGGCCAUGAUGAAUGUGGUCGCGCAGGACGUCCGGACCUGGCUCCAGGGCCAGGCUAUGGCGCUGAGGCAAUUCACCGAUGAGUUCCUUGCGACGCGGGCGGCCAUCCGGGUUAGUCUUCCCAUCUUGCUUCUUCUUGAUUUUGAUUUCUUCUUGAUCUUGAUUUCUUCCGUGGGGGCACGUCAGCGCACCCACUGGGUGUAGUCCCCGAGUUCCGAGUCGGCUGCUGAGCAGGCGGCUUGGAACUUCUUAGUGGAUUUGUCUUUGCUAUUCUUGUUCUUACUUCGAUCUUCUGUCUAUCUUGCAGGACUACCACAAUCUUCGUGCGGCCGCCUUCAACUCCCAGGCUUGGGAGCUGACCCAGAAGACCGCCGACCUUACUGAGAGCCGAGGUACGUGCUUUGUUCUUUAUCUCAUGUGGGGGCGCGUCAGCGCACCCACUGGGUGUAGUCCCCGAGAUUCGGGCCGACUGCUGAGCAGUCGGGUCGGAUCUUCCUUGACGACUUCCUCUUACUAUUCUUUCUUUUUCUGCCGUCUCUACAGCGGCCAACGCCAGUUUGAGGGCACAGCUGGGGGAGUCUCAGACUGCCCUUCUUGCCAAGGAUGCCGAGCUCGCCGCCUUGGUGCAGGAACGCGACCGCCUGGCCAAGAAGUUGGCCGACCAGGAGGAAGGCCACAAGGCGGCUCUGAAGGCGGUGCAGGACCGCGAAGCCGCCCUCCAGGCCGAGUACGAGACGGAGGCGGCUGGCUGGGCUGAGGCCAGGCAAACUCUGAUCUCUGGCUAUGGUCAGAUCGAAGAUCUGGUUGACGGUAAGCCACCUACCUCUUCGUCCUUUCUUGCCAUCUGCCACUUUUGGCUCGUUUUCUGACUUGGUGCUCUUUUCUUCUUCUCUUCUUCCUUCUUGCGCAGAAUAUUUCCCUGGCUAUUCUACCGCCGCCAAUCAGACCAUCGAGGCCCGCCGCCAGGCGCGGAGGCAGGCUGGCUUCGAGAUUUCGCCAACCGCCGGCCGUUCGUUGGAGGAGCAGCUCUUGGCGAUCCAGGCCCGCAUCCAGCCGGCUCACCGACUGCUUCGCCGGCUUCAGCGUGCCGGGGCGCAAGUCUUGGCCGCCCUCUGGCCCGGCCAAGUGGUUCCUCGCACCCCCAGUCGGACUACCGACUGGCUGGAGGUGGCAGUCGGCCGCUUCGAAGUUUGGAAGGCCUCGGCGGCUCGCUCCGGCGCCAGGCGGGCGCUGGAGUUCGUCAAGGCCUGGUAUCCCGGCCUGAGCCUAGAUCAGCUGGCUACCUGGCGGCAGCAAGCCGACACGGAGCUGGAGCCGGCGCGGCCGGCUAUCAUCCGGCGGGCUUCGGCGAUCGCCGACUACACCGACACCAGCGUCUUCGCCCCCGAGGUGGAUGACAACGGUGUCGCCCAGCCGGAGGAGUGGUUCAGGCUGAACCCGGCGGACGGUGAAGACUCGGCGGAGGAGAUCGACUCCAGCGACGAGGGCGAAGAGGAGGAGGAGGAGGGUGAAGACGCCGAGCCGGCUGGUGGAGCAGCCGACCAGCCUCAGCCUGACCACGCCUCCAGCACCACGUUACGCGCGAGUGCGUCGCCCGCGACUGGUGGUGACCAGGCCGAGACCCGCUAGGCGGCCACUCCUUCAGCCGGCGGGGCCGUCUCCACCGACCAGCUCGGCUUCCGCGCCGCGCCCUAGUCUGCCAUCUUUUGUUUUCCUGUCUUGUUACUUUUGGAACAAUGUUUGGUUAAGUCUGCACAAUUCCACCCACUGGGUGUAUUCGAACUUAUGUCUGUUGCCAGCCUGUUGGGGGCUUUAUAUGUAUAUAUAACUUAUGCAUGCAUUUGGCCUUUCCUCGUACUUUGCUUUUCAUCCUUCCGCUGUUUCCUUUGCCGCCCUCCCUUGGUUGCCGCCUCCCCAGUCCAACAGUUGCUCUGCAAUCUGUAGCUGGAGGAGUGCUUGGCCAAUUGGGGGGGGGGGAAGUACUCUAGCUUUGCUGGACUAAAGCUAAGUGUUUAGGAAGCCGGCCAGCCGGCUGUUCUGACAGCCGGCAGGCGUGUUUGGAGGCCGUCUUUUUGCUAUAUAAGUUCGUUGGUCCUUAGCCGUUUUUCGUGUGGGCAUCCUUUCUGCCUUGCCUCUUGCUAGUCGGACAGUCGGUUCUUCGAGCUGCGACUUUCAACAAGAGAGGACUCGGGAGCCGGCACACUACUUUUCUGACUUCAGGUAGAACUUUUAAUAUAGCUCAAGGCGGCCAGUCCCCGGGCCGACUAGUCGAACCCGGUGCCAGACAAGAAAUCAAAUGUAAUAAUACAUUCAUGGAUAUGACACUCGUCAUUCAUAGAUAAACAAAGGCAGUCCCCGAGUACUGUUCGGGGGGCCUGUUGGUUUGUACUUAAUACAAAAGGGUAGCAUGAUACAUACUGCUUUCAACUGUAAAAUCGUCUCAGGAGGUUUGCGUUCCAUGGUCGCCCCGACUCCUUGCCGGAGUCGUCUCUCUUGCGUGCUCUUGGUUUUUGUGCGUCGAUCAAGUAGUAGGAGUCGUUGCCGAGUGCCUUGCUGACGACGAAGGGGCCUUCCCAAGGGGCCGAGAGCUUGUGCUAGUCGGCUGUUCGCUGGAUCAGCCGGAGCACAAGGUCGCCCUCUUGGAAGGAUCUUGGCUUGACCUUGCGGUUGUAGUAGCGGCGCAGCCCUUGCUGGUAGAUGGCGGACCGGCUGAGUGCUAACAGCCGGCCUUCUUCCAGUAGGUCGACGCCGUCUUCUCUUGCUUCUUUGGCCUCCUCCUCUGUGUACAUGGUGAUCCAAGGCGAGUCGAACUCGAUGUCUGUUGGGAUGACUGCCUCGGCACCGUACACGAGGAAAAAUGGAGUAAAGCCGGUUGACUUGUUGGGUGUAGUGCGCAGACUCCAGAGGACAGCCGGCAGCUCAUCGAGCCAGCAGCCGGCCGAUCGCUCCAGUGGUACAACCAGUCGGGGCUUGAUGCCGAAGAGGAUGAGUCCAUUUGCUUGCUCGACCUGGCCGUUUGACUGCGGGUGGGAAACGGACGCUAAGUCCAGUCGGAUGCCCUGCGUCGCGCAGAAACGUGCCAGUGCUCCUUUGGCGAAGUUCGUGCCGUUGUCGGUGAUGAUGCUGUGCGGCACUCCAUACCGAGUAGUGAUGUCAGUGAUGAAUGUCACGGCAGUCGGCCCGUUCAGCUUCUUAAUCGGCUUUGCUUCGAUCCACUUUGUGAACUUGUCCACAGCGACCAGUAGAUGUGUCAAGCCACCGCGGGCUGUCUUGAAAGGGCCCACCAUGUCCAGUCCCCAGACGGCAAAAGGCCAGGUGAGGGGAAUGGUCUUGAGUGCAGAAGCCGGCAGGUGUUGCAUGGCACUAAAAACUUGGCAUCCUCUGCAGCUCUUGACUAUUUCUUUAGCAUCCUCCAAGGCAGUCAGCCAGAAGAAACCAUGGCGGAAAGCCUUGGCCACAAGUGAUCUUGAGGCUGCGUGGUGGCCGCAUUCGCCUUGGUGGAUGUCUUUGAGGAUUGCCACUCCUUUUUCUGGCUCGACACAGCGCUGGAAGACCCCAGUGACGCUAUGCUUCACAAGAUCUCUGUUGAUUAUUGUAUAUGCUGCGGCUCGUCGUUGCACCAGUCUCGCUGAGAUCUCAUCAGCCGGCAGCUCUCUGCUGACUAGGAACUUGAGGAUGGGCUGGGCCCAUGACGGAGCUGUGACUUCUUCUUCUGUUAAUGUAGCCACCAUGACUCGGGUGGGUGGGUUGGGUGGCGUGGAAUUGGAGUCGGCCACCGCUUCUUGUGUCGUUGCAGUCCCCAGGCCGACUGCUGCAGUCCCCGGGCCGGGUUCUGAAGUCCCCGGGCCAGUUGUCGAAGUCCCCGUGCCGCCUGCGGGGUUCCUCCAGUCGGAUCCGGCUGUAUCUGGCGCAGGCGGUACGAAGAUGGAGUCCGACUCUGGAGAUGGUUUGAUGGACGGCUUGAGGAGGUGCUGGAGGGAGACGCCAGUCGGUAUGGCUUACCGGGUGUAGCCGAUCCGUGCUAGGGCAUCUGCUUGGUCGUUGUCGGCCCUUGGCACGUGAAGGAACUCGCACCCUUCAAAGUAUCCGCUGAUCUGCUGGACGAGGAAUCGAUAGCUCGCCAUGUUCACGUGCUUGGCGUCCCAGUCGCCAGACGACUGCUGGACCACCAAGUCUGAGUCGCCGUAACACAGGAUCCGGCGUAUGCCGAGUUCUUUGGCUAGCCGGAGCCCAUCUACGAGCGCCUCGUACUCGGCCACGUUGUUGGAGGCGGCGAAGUGGAUCUGCAGCGUGUACUUGAGCUUGUCGCCUUUGGGAGAGGUGAGGACGAUGCCGGCUCCCAAGCCGGUGCGCAUCUUGGACCCGUCAAAGUGCAUCCGCCAAUGGGUAGAGUCGGGAGCCGGCGGUAGGUACUGGGUCUCGGCCCAGUUGACAAGGAGGUCGGCCAACGCUUGGGACUUGAUGGCGGUGCGGGGUUGGUAGAAGAUCGUGUAGGGUGCCAGUGCAAUGGCCCAUUUAGCCACCCGGCCGGAUGCAUCCCGGCUGCCUAUGAUCUCGGCGAGCGGGGCGGUGCACACGACCGUGAUGGGGUGCUCUUGGAAGUAGGGCUUCAGUUUCUUGGCAGCGAAGUACACCCCAUAGCACAUCUUCUGGUAGUGCGGGUAGUUUUGCUUUGAGCUGGAUAGCACUUCGCUGAGAUAGUACACCAGCCUCUGGACUAGCUGGGCUCGGCCUUCUUCCGGGCGCUGGACCACAACAACAG